This 78752-nucleotide long non-coding RNA is filed under the name Cucumis sativus (cucumber). RNAcentral's name for it is "long non-coding RNA (CSAT_LNC002778)". Lineage: Eukaryota; Viridiplantae; Streptophyta; Magnoliopsida; Cucurbitales; Cucurbitaceae. The record is from RNAcentral.
AAAAAAAAAAAACAAAAAAUGUUUGAACUAAAAAGAAAAAUGGUGCUAGAAAAAGAGCCAAAAAAUGUACUCAUGAUUGGUACAAAUUCGAAAGGAUAAGUGAGAGAAACGUGUAUCAUAUCACCAAGGUAGGAAAAAUUAAUUUCCUACUCUUCAAUUAGUCUAAGUUAUAUCAAGUUUCACUCUAGACUCGCUAAUUUCAAUAAUAUCAAAUUAUCAAUUUCAUACCAUAUAUAUUUAUACCAAAAACCUGCCCUUAAUGGAAGUUUAUAAAACUACUAUGUUCACUUCAAGAACAAAUGAAACUUUAAACUCAAAGCUGCAGCAGUAGCAACCACACAACAUGCAAGAAAAUAUACAACCAUGAAGCAAAUAUAGGGGUUGAAGAACUCAUAGCUAUAUUCCAUUUAGGUCGAUUGGAUUAAAUUUUAUUUACGUUCUGUUCUGGUUUUCUUUUAAAACAAUACAUUACGAGUAUUGUUGAAGUGCAUGCUCAUCUUAAAGCAAAGUAUCAAAAACAGUUCUUGCAAGCGCGCGCACACAGAAAAAAAAUCACAAUGACUAUAAGAUCUACUUCAGUUUAUUUUACAGAACGAUCCUUACAAGCAGCAGUAUUUACCUGUUUAGACAUGUAUGCUUCGUAGAUUUCCACGACAAGCCGUGGAUCCUUCUCGACGAGUUCCAUAUACUCAUCCCUUUUGGUAAGCUUGUCCAUGUUGUCGAUGAUCAUUGACAAAGCUGCAUCGAUCAUAUGCACGCCAUUGUGCUGGUGUGCAAAUACGUAGUUCAUGAUUGAGUUGUCCCAGUUCAGUUUUGAUAUUAGGAACUUCUCGCAAUGUGCCUUCAAAUGCUUCACUUCGUACUUCUCAGCCAAAACUAGAAGGUCAUAAGCCAUUUGCUCAUCAAGACAGGCUUCUGCUGUGUACAAAUAAUUAACAAAGGCACGGAGAGCAUCAAAUGACACAUCACUGAUUUUUAUGGUACCACUACGACUUUCUUCCAUUUCAUUCUCAAGCAUAGCUCUGAAAACUGGGGAGCGACUCACCUGGAGGAUACAUGAAAAAGGUACUCUGAUAAGAAAAAGGAACAGGGUCCUGUUUACAUACACUAGUCCAUAACAGGAGAAGCUAGCCAAAGUUAUAGCAAAUGUAUAUAGAACUCAGCUGAAAUAGCAUCCACCUUCACAUAGUCAGUCGAAAACCAAGUCGUUAAUAUUAAUACUCCUAUAUAUCUUAUUCCAUCUUUCAUCUAAUUUCCUAAUGGCACUAAAUUAUAAUCAUGUUAAAAUAAUAUUUAUCCACCACGGUACAACAGAGGUUACAGAAAAACAUCUUCUGACCUAUUCUCACUCUUAUGUUUAAUCUGCAGCAAAAAAAAAAAGGUAGAGGCCUCUCAUAUCUUCCGAUAAAAUAUAUAGGGAGAGACAUUAAAUAGGUAACUGAAGCACAAAUUGUCAUGAUUUAGACACCAUAUGUAGUGUAUGCCGUGAAUCUUUCCUUGAAGAACAUAUGUACUGCCAAGAAUGGUGAAAAAUCAUCUUGGAUAUAAGGAAUGCAGUUAGAUCAAAUAUUGCUAGUGAUGCCAUAGUUGUAAACUUUUUUAUUAUUAAUCACUCCAUGAGGCUUGCUAUGUUUAAUGAAUUUAAAUUUCUAAUAUUGCUUUAUGUGGCUGAAACACAUUUUGCAUUCGUUAUCAUCAUGCUUAAGAGGUUUCAACUAAUCAUAGAUGGUUUGCAAGGUGUGGUCGUAAGUGAUAAAUGGGCAAAUUAUAGAGAAGUGACGUGGCAAGUACAAGGCAUAUAAAGUAGCUGGUGCUUGAUGAUUUAUGGGGGAUAAAAUAGAAUGUAUUAUUUCCUUCACCUCACCUAUCUACGGCAUGAAUAGAGUUUGGAAUACUUGUCUACAUUUAAAAUGAUUAAAAAGAUCUGAUAAUAAUAUACAAACACAAGGGAUUGCAACCAAGUGAUUGGUCCUCUCUUUAUGAUGUAGUGUAACGUUCUCGUCUAAGAAGCACGAACACGAACACGGACACGGGACACGAAUACGAUAGGACACAGCAAUACGCCAAUUUCUAAAGUAAUAGGACACAGACACGUUGGGGAUACGUUAUUUUUUUAAAGUAUUUUUUUUGUAUAAUAUAUAAAUUUGAUACAAAAUACUAAACGUUUUUCAUUUCCUCAACAAAAAAAAAAAAAAAUACUAAAUGUUAACAAAACAUAAAAGGUCAAAUUAACAUUUAACCAUCGUAGGUUGUAAUAGUACAAAAAAAAUUAGGUAUAUUCAACAUGGAAAGUGAUUAUCCAUACAAAAGAAUAAAAUAUUAAAGACUAAUAAAAAACUAUCCUUUCAAAUCUCAAUAACAUCUUCAUCCUUAUCAACACCAUCCUCUUUAGUAAUUUCAGCCUCCAACUCUGGAACAUCAAAGAUAAAUUAGCUACUUCAAGCAUGCCUACAUUUUCAAGUGAAUCAAAAGCAUCCCCGCAAUAUCCCAUGCCUUGGUUUUUCCUUUUGAAUAUUCUGGAGUUUUUCUAGACAAAAGACGAAGGUUGCUGUGGAUAAAUACCAAAUCCUCUGCACGUUGAGGCGUCAUUUUGUUCCUCUUGAUGGAGUUAAUAAAAGAAUAUGUGCUCCAAUUUCUUUCACAACAUGAAGAGGAUGAUGGUUGUCCUAAAACUUUGAAGGCAAUCUUCUGAAGCAUUGGUGCAUAAGUCCCAUGAGUUGCCCACCAACUUAUAGAAUCUAUUGUGUAUCUCUCGCAUAUGGAAUCAUAAUCAUCAAAAUCUCCUGUUUUUGUAGAAAAUUGAGCAAAUUCUACAUUCACUUUUGCACGAUCCUCCGAGCUACUAAAAUACCUCUUCAUACACUUCAUUCUCUCUCUAGUUAGUUCGACAUCUUGAUGUGGAGCAACUCGAUUAGGAUCUUCUGUAAGCCAUUCUUCACUAUAGUAUUUAUAUAAAAGUUUUAAGAAAAUGUUAAACUCGAAAAAAUUAACUAAGAAUCAACUUAGAAUGUACUAUACUAAAAUUAAUUAAAUACCUUGGCUUCAAAGAAUGUGCUAAACAGUGAAGUGGAGUACUAUUCUUGUUCCAACGAUCAAUGAGAAUGUUAUACACCACGUCAUAGAAAGAAGAGAAUUCAGUUGGUCGCAACCCUUCGUGUUUAUAUAUGGACAUCUUCACCUUUUCAAUCAUUGUAUCCCACAUGUCAUACACCAAAUGUAAACAAGGUGUAUCUGUAUCACAAUCUCUUAGCAUGUCAUAUAUGGGUGAAGUGAAUGACAAAAUAUAACUAAUUUUGUCCCACCAAAUGCCAUCGAGCACCAACUCCUUUACAUGUCUUGCCUUGACCACAUCAUCUUCUCUGUAACUUUCCCAUUUAUCAUUGAUAACCAUAGCUUGUAAGCCGUCUUUAAUAAGCUUAAACCUUUUGAGCAUAAUAAUAACCGAUGGAAAACAAGUUUCAGCUAUUGAAAGUAAUUUAAGAGGCACAAAUUCAUUAAACAUGGCAAGUCUCAUGGAAUGGUUCAUUAUAAAAAAUUUCACUACCACGACGUCCCCAACAAUAUCAAAAAUCCAGCUGCACUCUCCAUAAACAAUUUGAUUAUUUUCAACAUUCUUGGAAGCACAAAUGUUUUUCAAGGCAAGAUUUAGAGUAUGAACCACGCAUGAUGUCCAUAUAAUCGUCGGAAAUUGUGCUUCAAUAAGUUGUCCUAGCCCUUUGCAAUUGGGAGCAUUAUCAGUUAUCACUUGAACAACAUUCUCAUGACCGACUUCAUUAAUCACUUCCUUCAUCAAAUUUGCAAUGAAGUACUUAUCCUUAAUCUCACCUGAGCAAUUGACCGAUUUUAGAAACAUUGACUUACCAUUAGAAAUGACCAUGAAGUUUAUCAAUGACCUUCUUUGUGAGUCACUCCAACCAUCACUUACAAUGGUCACUCACUUUUUUCGCCAUUCACCUUUAAUAGGCAUAAGUAGUCCUUCAAUAUUAGUUUUCUCCCUUUGCAGUAGACUAGUCCUCAACAUAUUAUAUCUUGGAGGCUUGUAUAUGGACAACGGAUUGUUUGCAGCAUAAGUAAAGGCACCGAUAAAAUGGGGGUUCCUUGCCAAAUGAAAUGGCAAGCCCGCAUAAUAAAACAUUUGAGCAAUAAGUGCAUCCAAUUGGUCCCGUGAUGUCUUGUUGAAUGAUUUUUCUAGUGCACUUGUAUUGCCCUUCCUUUUCUUAUUCUCAAUCUCAAAUCUAUUUGAAUUGGUCACAUCCACUCCCCCAGUUGAUAUGGAUGAAGAUGUCAUUGGCAACGGAACAUUUUUUGGAGCUUUUCUUUCCAUUUGAGUUUUUGCCUCAUCCUCUAACCUUUGCAUAUCUGCUAUGUCUUUAGGAGUAACCUUUAGACAUGACCCAAUUCCUUGACCAACUAUCUUCAGCAAGUGAGCUCUCACUCUUGUAUAUGAGCUCUUCUUUAUAACGUGACAAAAAUUGCAUUGCCAUGAAAAAUUUCCACCUCCGUCACUUAACUUCUUAAUCUUAAUCACAUAUUGCCAUAGGGAUUUAGAAUCAUCUUCAACAGUGCUACUGUUAGUUUCCAUGGAACUCGUUACUCCUAACAUUUAAAGAAAAAACAAAUGCAUUUUGAAGUUUGCUAAUGGUGUAUAUAUAAAACUUUGGUUGAUAUUUUAAAAAGAUUAAAACUUUGAAAAGGAUUAAAGCUUUGAAAAAUAUUAAAACUUUUGAAAAAUAUUAAAACUUUCAAAAAUAUUAAAACUUUCAAAAAUAUUAAAACUUUGAAAAAGAUUAAACUUUCAAAAAGAUUAAAACUUUCAAAAAGAUUAAAACUUUCAAAAAGAUUAAAACUUUAGAAGAAAACAAAUUAAAACUAAUAAAAUAUAACUAAAAAAACAUACUUGAUAGUUGGUCGUGGUUUGGUGUAUUAGUUUUGAGUUGCCGGCAAGCAGUAGCGGUGACCAAUUGCAAGAAUAGAAAAAAUAUCCAGCAAACAAUAGCGGUGAGAGGGACUCUUUGGUCGUUGAAGUUGGAUAAAAGUACAACACAGAAGAAAAAAUUAAGAUGAAAGCGGGAGAUGAAGAGUCAAAUAUUCAAGAGGGAAAGCCGAGAGACGUGCACUCCACGUAAGAGAGGAAGAAAACUGAAGAAAAUUUGAUUUACUGUGUCUAAUAAAAUCUUUAUAUUUUAUUUAUUAGAAUUAGUUUAGUUUAGUGGGCUUUGAGUUGGGCUUAAGUUAAUUAUUAUUUAUUAGAAUUAGCUUAGUUUAGUGGGUUGGGCUUUGGGCUUCCCAAAAAGAAAAAUGGAGUGUCCAGACAUGUCUGAACAAUUUAGAAGAAAAAAAGGACACGGAUUUUGGCGUGACGGACACGUGUCCGCAACAUGUCCGGACGAAUCCGUGUCCUCCAAGUGUCCGACACCAAUGCAAGCUCUAAUAUGAAGUGUUCGUGCUUCUUAGGUUCUCAUUGAUUAUUUUCUUGGAAUAAAAAUGAUACUACAUUUAUUGUUUACCACACUCCUUGAAUUCAAGGCAGUUAACAAUACUACAUUUUUUAUGUCAUAUUCUUUUUUUCAUAUAUGGAAACAAGUUUCGUUGAUGUAUGAAAUUAACAAAAAGGACCAAAGGCCUAGCCAAAGGAGUUACAUAGAAGAUCUCCAAUUGGAAGAAAGGGUGUAUGAAUUAAAAGAACAUUUACACCAACUCACACCAUGAAAGAUAAUGAGUUUAAAAAAAGCAAUAAAAAGAGCUUCCCUAACAAGAGAUACUCAAAAGAGCUUCCCUAACAAGAGAUACUCAAGAACACAAAAACAAUUCAAGAACAAUCAAAUAUGAAAAAUAUAUUAAAAUGUACUAUAAUCUCAUAAGAACAAGUAACAAUGUAACCCCAAGCCUUUUGAGAGGGCUAGACUUUCCCAAAUUCCCUCACAAGGAAAUCUCACUACAAAAUUCUUCACCCCUUUCCCUCAACCCAAGUCCUCUAUUUAUAAAUAAAAAUCCCUAACCAACUUACAAUCUAAUUACUAAUAUGUCCCUUCUCCUAAUCCUACUAAUACUCUAUUAAUAAUCCCAUAUAACUAGGAGCCUUACAGGACUGUAGUAAAGAAUGGCUUACAAAUUCCUCUAAUCAAAUGACUCCACAUCAAGAUGUCAAACUAACUCAAGAGAGAAUGAAGUGUUUUAAAAACUAUUUAAGUGAUCUUGCAGUCCUCCCGAUUGUGCAAAAGUGAACAUAGAGCUUAUAACUUUACUAUCAAAUCUGCAGGUUUUGCCAAGUAUGAUUAUAACUCAGAUAUGUUAGCAAUCCUACAAGCUGGUGGGCGGUGUUACCAAUCCUAUAAGUUGUCGAAAAACUCAUGGUGUUUAUGCGUAAAUGCUAUGCUUCAACCAAUUGCUAAGUACUAAGGAAGCCGUUUUCCUCUUCAUGUUGUGAGAGAAUUGGAGCACAUACUCUUUAGUGAUUCUCUCAAGAAGAACAAAAUGACACCCCCAAUCAGCAGAGGAUUUGGUAUACAUCAACUGUAAACGACGUCUUUUGACAAGAAAAGCUUUAGAAUAUUCAAAAGAAGAGGCUAAGUUAUGUGACAUUGCUAGAGAUAUCUUUGAUUCUAUUGAAGAUGUCAGAAAGCUUGAAGUGGAUAAUUUGUCGUUGAUGAAAGCGAGUGAUGUUUUGGAAGAUGAUGGUGGUUAAAGUGAUAAAGACGAUAAUAUUAUGAUAGAAUACUUGACCAUUCGCCUCAAAUCUAGUUUCCUUAGCCAAAAAAAUGAAUUUAAAAACAAAACAAACAAACAACACAAAACAAUUAAAUAUAUAUUUCCUACUUCUACUAAAACCCUAGAGAAAAAGGAUGUGCAGUCCGUAAAAAGAGAACAGAUAAUUAUAACUUUUUAAGGCACUUUUGCUAAACAAUAACCUAGCCUAAUUGGAUCAGAAUCAGAAACCUCAUUAGAGGAAAAUAACCAGAUGAUGGAACCGAGGGAGCCCCAAGGUAUUUUAGUAUUUUACAUUACCCUAAGUUUAUUUCCUUUCAGUAUUAGGACUUGCUAGAGCCUACAAAGUUGUCUUCUUUUUUAACUUUCAUUGUGAGUAAAAAUAAUAAAAGAGACACUCUAUCAUGAUUUUUUCUCCCUGUUCUAGGGUUUUCCACAUAAACCAUGUGUUCUCUUUUCAAUCUUUUAAUAUGGUACCAGAGCGUUGUGAUGAAAUCCUAGCCACCAUUCAUGAAAAAAAACCAACCAAUGCAAGAUAACUUUAAUUCUACACCAGUCUUGCUUUAGCCACAGUUGCUGCUGCCAGCACCAAUUUUUUUCACUACCGUCACUGCCACUGUUGUCCAAGCCAUUGUUGAUUGUUAUCUUCAGUCCUCUCAUAUCCAUCCAAUUCUAGCACCCCCACAACCCUUUGAUGAAAAUCUUGGCCGAAACAUAAACCAUAAAACCGAGCUUAGUGAGUAGUCCGCCUACCACAAAGGUAAUUUCCCUGUCGCGGCAACAAGCUUCUCGUAACAACAGGGUCUUCCUCAUCAUUCGUCGCCUAGUUAUGAACAUCAAGGUUAGAUUGGUUUAUCCCCGAUAAUGGUACAAUAACAGUUAGCUUAUCUUCAGACAAGUUUUCAACAACAAAUCGCUGCUCUUGGGGCAGCCUUAGGUGCUUCCACAAACCCAAAUUCCAGUACUGACAUUCCUUCCAUUUUACCAAUGUAUCCAAAGAAUUCAACAACCUUUUCCCUACUUUAACUACUGCAAACUAUUUCUCUGACUCUGUGGGAAACUCCAUAGGGUUAAUUGUAAGAGAAAAGUUGAAUGGUUAGAAUUUCUCCUGCUUGGUCCAUUAAAAUGGUCAUUGAGGGGCGUCACAUGUUUGGGUAUCUAACUAGUGAGAUUAGACCUAGACCAAAGGAUCCUCAGGAGAGCAUUUGGAAGGAGAAGACUCCCUGCUUCGUUCAUUGUUGAUUAGUAGUAUGGAACCUUAGAUAGGAAAACUGUUGUUUUAUGUUGCUACUACUCGACAUAUCUGAGAUGCAAUUCAGAAAUUAUAUUCUAAAAGAUGCGUCUCAUUUGUACACUCUGCGUAAAUAGGCUCAUGAGUGCAAACACGGACGAUGGAUGUCACUUCAUACUUCAACAAAUUGUCUCUAAUCUGGUUGGAGAAGGAUCUGUGUCGUGAAAUUCUUGGGAUUGUCUCUGUGGAGGUCUCCAGUAUUCCAAGAUUGAGGAAGUCAAUCGCAUUUAUGAUUUCCUAGCUAGUUUAACUCCAAGUCCGAUAUAGUUUGAGGUUGUAUAUUGGGACUGAGGCCUAUUAUUAGAAGUGUAUUCUGAGGUACAUCUAGAGGAGACAAAGUCAGUGCUAUGAACAUCAUGAUUGUAUCUGCUACUGAUUAUGCUGCUUUUAGUGCAAAAUUAUCUAAAACCACAUAUGAAAAAUCAGAAAAAUCAAGGGAUUAUGAUAUCUCUCUUGACAUGCCAAUUGCAUUGAGAAAGGGCACCGGUUCCUACACCAAGUAUCCCAUGUAUCGCUUUCUGUUUUACAGUAAUCUGUCAUCUAAGUUCAAGGUGUUCACUGUUAGCCUUGAUACAGCAAUCAUCCCGAAAAACAUACAUAUGGCUAUGGAAAUUCUUGAGUGGAAGAUUGAUGUCAUGGAAGAAAUGGGAGCUCUUGAAAAGAAUAAUACAUGAGAUUUUGUGCUCUUCCUAAAGGGCAUAAACAGUUGGGUGCAAGUGGGUGUUCACUCUAAAGCAUAAAUUAGAUGGAACUCUAGAAAGGUACAAUGCUAGACUUGUAGCGAAAGGGUUUACUCAAACUUAUGGGAUAGAUUAUUCUUAGACUUUAUUCCCUAUAGCAAUGUAAAUACGAUCUGAGUCAUUCUUUUUGUUGCAGUUAACAAAGACUGACCUCUCCAUCAGCUUGAUGUGAAAAAUGUAUUUUUGAAAGGUGAAUUAGAAGAAGUUUAUAUGAGCCCACCCCCAGGUUUUGAAGCUCAAUUCGAUCAUUAAGUAUGUAAACUUAGGUAGUCUUUAAAUGGUUUGAAACAGUCCUCGAGAACGUGGUUCAACAAGUUUACUACAUUUGUUAAGUCCCAAGGUUUCACUCAAGGACACUUUGAUCAUACGUUGUUUACAAAAAGGUCAGUAUCUAGGAAAGUUGUUCUAAACUUCUAAUUGUGUAUGUACAUGGUAUUGUUUUGUCAGGAGAUGAUACGAUUAAGAUCACCAAGCUGAAAAAGAAAAUGACGAACGAGUUUGAGAUAAAAAUUCUAAGAAAUCUAAAAUAUUUCCAUGGAAUGGAGGUGGCAAAAUCAAGGGAAGGGAUUGAUAGACCUCCGAUACUAUAUCAAUAUAGUAGGAGAAGGAAGAAGGAUAGUGGCACGGCACGUGUGUAGAGUGACACGUGUGAGUUAGGUUAGUAUAAAUAAAGAACAAUUGUUGGGCGGGAAAGUCAAUUAGAAACUUCGAAGGAGUGGAGUUAUGUUCUUCCUGGAGAGAUAGGAUAACAGGAGAGGGUUUACAGCUUUAGUGUGAGAUCGAAUUAGUGUGUGUAACCUAGAUUCAGUUUUGAAUCUAAUAAAAAUAAAAGUAGAAUUCUCUUAGUUUCCGGAUUCCAUCAAAUAACGAAAAUUAGAUCCUCGACUUGUUAAAAGAAACAAGUAUGACUGGAUGUAGACCUGCUACCACUCCUAUUGAAUUCAAUGCGAUGGGAGAUUCUGUUGACAAAGAGAGGUAUUUGUGUCUGGUGGGAAAGAUGAUUUACUUAUCUCACACUAGACCAGAUAUUUCCUAUGUUGUUAGUGUUGUUAAUCAAUUUAUGCAGGCACCCUAGGAAGAGCAUAUGGAAACUGUGAAUCAGGUUCUGAAAUAUUUGAAAAGCUCUCUAGGUAAAGGUCUAAUGUUUAGGAAAACAGACAAAACAUUGAGGCUUAUAACGACUCUGAUUGGGCAGGAUCAGUUAUUGACAUAAAAUAUACCUCUAGAUAUUGUACCUUUGUGUGGGGUAACCUAAUUACUUGGAGAAGUAAGAAACAAAGUGUUGCUAGAACCAGUGCUAAAGCUGAAUACAGAGCUAUGAGUUUGGGAAUCUACGAAGAAAGUUUUGUCAGAUCUUCACCAAGACUAUGUUUUAUCCAUGAAGCUCUAUUUUGAUAAUAAAGUGGCUAUAAGCAUAGCUAAUAAUCCUAUACAACAUGAUAGAACGAAGCAUGUGGAGAUUGACAAACACCUUAUAAAAGAGAAACUAAACAAUGACAAUAUCUGUAUUUCGUAUAUUCCACUCUUCAACAAGUUGCUGACGUUCUCACCAAAGGGUUACUAAGGCCAAGUUUUAACUCAUGUGUUAGCAAGGUGGGUUUGAUUGACAUCUACACCCCAACUCGAGAGGAGUGUUGGAAAUAAGGGACUUUGUUGAUAGAUUAUAGGCCCGAGGGUAUUAUAGUAUUUUACUUUACCCUAAGCUUAUUUUCUUCUUUGUAUUAGGGUUUGCUAGAGCCAACAAAGCUGUCUUCUCGUGUAACUUUCAUUGUGUGUGAAAAUAAUAAAAGAGACUCUUUAUCGUUUUUUCUCCAUGUUCUAAUGUCUUCCACGUAAGCCUUGUGUUUUUCUACUUUUAAACAAAAACCACCGAAGGAGAUAAAUUGCAGAGUAUCACUAUCACUCAAAGCUAAACCUUUUAGUCUAGAAGAAAAGUGAAAUUUGAAGGGAGAAAGUCACUUAAUAGUGAACAAGUCUACAUUCUCAACUUGAUCAACACACCAACAGAGAUAAGUUAGAAGCUUAAAUCAAAUCGCAAGAGAAACUUUUCAAUGAUUCUCAUGAGAGCGCACCAAGGUAAGAAUCAAAUCUCACCAUUGUAACUUAGAGGCAUAUUUCUUGGGUGAUAAAAAACCAAAAGAAACUGUAAGAACAAAGGCCUAAUUGGAAACAUCUCUUGUAUUUCCCGUUGAUUGCAAUCCUUUUGUAUAUCUUUUGUGUAUCCUUUUGAAAUGAGAUAGUUUCCUGUCCAAAAAAGAAGGGUCAGGUCAAUCUCAAUAACUACUUUUCUUUAGAUAUGGAAAUAACACCCAAGUCUCACAGCUAACAUUACUAACCUUUAUUCCAUCAAUUUUACAGGGUUGGCAGUUUCUUGGAUGACAUCGUUGGAUUUAUGUUUGGGUAGAAAUAGAGACUGUUAAUGGCAUCAUUGGAUUUAUGAGGUCUAGGAAAUGGUAAGGUUUAAUGCUUCGACGUGGAGACUGACACCUCAGCCAUUUUGUAGCUUGUAACUGGUAAGUAUGAUUUUCGUUUGAUUUUGUUGCAUGAGAGUCCUUUUCUAUAGUUCUUUGAUUCCUUUUUGUUGGGCUCAUUCUUUUUUGUAUGCUCUUGUAAAUUCUAUCAUUUUUUUUUGCAAUGAAAGUUUGGUUACCCGUCUCUUACCAAAAGAUAAAUAUAUAUUACUAACUUUCACAGGCCCACCCCAAAAAACAUAAAUGCAUCAUGUUCUCGACAGUAUUAUCUCUAGUUUUGAACACAAAUUAUUUAUGGAGAAACUACAACCGCAUGAAAGACAAAAUUGAAAGGAGUAUUCAUAAAUAGAAAGAUAUGGAAGGACUCAAACUAUGAGAAUUAGGGAUAAAGAAUAAUCACAAAAACCCUUGGUUACAGAAACCCAAGCAAACACAUUGAUUCUAGCCAAGACUCUCAAUAGAAUACUCUCCCUAAGACUGUCUCCAGAUCUCUAAAAUCUCCCCUAUUCCUCACAAGCCAGAUGUGCUGUAAAACAUAAAAAACAAGAACCAAAAAGCACACCAAAGGUAUCCUCUUCUUAUAAACAAACACAAAUUGCUAUGAGGCAACUACAGUCUAAAUCCUUAAGGUUGCCCAUGCCCAAGAUUGAGCCUGCCAACUAACAACCACAAAUCAUAUGCUCCAGAUACUCUUAAAACCCUUACAUUAUUAAAAUGUAACAAUAGAAAAGCCAGGACAUGAUCCCCAACCAAGUGUUUUUCCAAACUAUGAUUUGCUAACCCUUACCCACAUUUAGGCCACCAAAGGAUUGAACAGAUAAACUGUUCUAGAGUCAAAGAUCUGGGAGCUUCAACUGCAAGCCCUCUCCAACACCCAAAUGCUCUAUCUAUUACAAUCAAACCCAUACUAAAAAAGUUUUUUUUAGGAGAAAAAACGUUCCAGAAAAACCUGAAAUCCAUUCGACAAUUAGGAGUGUAUUCUUUCUCCUUAAGUUUCCAUGACCAAGGCCAUUUGCCAUUGAACUCCCAUGUCGCUAUAGUUUCAAUCACUAACUAAGAGAUCAUGGGUUCAAUUCACUAUGGUCAACUACCUAGGAAUUAAUUUCCUAUUGUCCCGUGAGAUUAGUCAAGGUGCACAUAAGCGGACCCAGAUACUCUCCGAUAUCAAAAAAAUCUCAUGCCACAAUAAUUGUAACCAAUUAACCACAUGCCCUGCUCCAUCUAUUUCCACCCAUUUUCAAGGGAAAUGUCCAUUUUUCAACAUCUAAGCUAAUCCACAACCUCAUUAGCAAUCAAAUAGAUUGUAGGAUAACAUGGCAGAAACCUUCAACUAAACUUAGACAGAUGUUCAUCCCUUCCAUUUGUUCCUAGAAUAUACGUAUUGCACAUUUGCAAAACGUUAGUGGAACUCUCUUUCUCAUUAAUUCAGUCAUACUUGGUUAUCCAAAUACCAUCAGAAGAGGGAUGAUAGAAAAUUAUAUGAACUCAUAGAACAGAAGGCUUGAAAUCUUUUUCGUCUUAUAGCUAAAAAAAAAAUUGAGUAGAAAAAGGGAUUUCAGAAAGAGAUGACUGUAAUUUUAAUGAAAUUGAAAUGAAUUGUAAAAUAGAAUGUAGAAUAAAGAACAUUAGUAACAAGCAAGAGAAUAAAUAACUUGUGAAGUGGCAAACCCACCAUUUCAAUGAAAAUUUUUGAAAAAACGUGCAAUGACCAAACCAUAUUUACCGAAUAAUAAGAAGUUCAUGCCUACAGAUCAAUUCACGUUUUAACUACCAAACUCGACUCAUGGAGUCAAGCGUGGUAUUUCGGAAUUCCAUGUAGCUUAGCCUCCCCCCUCCCCCCUCUCCACUAAAAUUUUAUUAUCUUUCGUGUAUUUGUGCUACAAAUCCAAGCUUACUGAACCAAUGAUUAUAAGUUUGGCAGUUAAACAUCUUACUCUUUUGACGCUUAGUAACCAAAAACGAAAACCCACUUGGAUACAAAAUAACAAGUGGCCAUGGCAUUAACUCGUACACGGCUUAAACUCAUAAACAAACCAAUAUAUAUACAUAUUACAUUAGAGAAUAACCAAGUAAACCCGUAAAAUUCAUACUAACCAAGACGGCUUUAUGAGCGGGAAGAGGCACGGCGUAUCCCUCAGGUCCAUCGCUUGAGGCGAUCAAAACGACAUCCGUAAAGCAUGGAGUAUUCGACCUGUUAUGAAGAUGAUCAAGAGGGGACCAAAACCUGAGGAAAGCGACCUUAGCUUUCAAGUCUUCGAUCUCACGCUUGAGCUCUUCCUCAGUCUCAUUAGCUUCAUGAUAGCACUCCUUGCAGGUUCCGGCCUCGCCUGAUGGGUAUUCCUCCAGACACGACAAGCACUUCAUCAAUUCUUGAUCGGACUCGCUUUCCGUGUCCGAAAUGACUCUCGACGACAAACACCGGCGGCGCUGCAUCGGAAAAUUUGCCGUCGGCGCGGGGACUCUGUGAAAAUUCCCUAGUCGUUGCUUUGAUCGAACGGAAACUGUCCGAAAGAAAAAUGGGGAUUUGACGAAGGAUUAGCCUCUAGAGAUCAAUCAAUUUCUGUUUUAAAGAACAAAAUAAUGUUUUCUUUUUUCGAAGUGGAAUUGGUGAGAAGCCAAAUUGGGGGAAGGACCUCCAAGUACACUCUAUUUUGGCGUAUUACUUAUUAGGGUAAUUUUAAAAAGCUGCUUUCAAAUUUGAUUUUUUUUAAAAACAAAAAACAAAACUCAAAUUAUUUCAAUUUUUGGCCCAUAGAAAAAGCAUUUGAUGCCUAGCUCAAAAAGAAAAUUAUAAAAUCAAUAAGAAAUUGGGAGUCAUAGGAAACCGUAAUGGUAUGUAUAUUUACAUCCGAUUUGAUUUAGGAAACCGUAAUGGUAUAUUUCCAUCGGAUUUGAUUUAGGGUUUAUAAUAUUUGUAAACAAGAAUUAGGAUAUGAGUUAGGUUAUCUCUCCAAAGAAAUGGGCUAUGAAGUACGACGUGUCAAAUGGAAAAAAUUGGUAUAGUUCUCAUUCUUGAGCGAGGUUGAGGAGGUUAGUUUGUGCUUUUGAUCCAAACACCGUUUUUUUAAGGCUUAUAGGGGUGUUUGGCCCAUGGAUUUGGAAUUAGGGUGUUUAUCCAUUGGGAUUAAAGUUCCAAAUUCAUGAGUUUGAAAUAUGUUUUUUUAAAAAGAAAUUAUUAUCGAAUGACAUAUGUUUUAGAAAUUUUUUUCACUUCAACAUCUUAUCAAUGAUCAUUGCCAACAAUUGUUAGCCAACUUCACAAUCAAUUGAUCGACGGUCACAAGAACCGAUCGUCUUAAUCGUUGCUCCGGAUCAUCUUGAUCGUCAGCUUGGAAUCGUCUUGAUCAUCGAUUAUCAAUCGUCUUGAUCGCUUGUAACCUACAACUUUGGACGUUACUAUCAUGGGUGAACAUCUUGAUCGACAACAAGCAAUCGUUAUCGUUAACUAUCGAUCUCAUGCCUAUUAACAAGCGAUUAUAGUGAUGGUCGAUGAUCAACAGCCAUAACCAUUCACGACUGAUUGUCAUGAUGAUUGACGAUCAAUCAAUUUUCUUAAAAUUAGCGACCGUUGAUCGUCUUCACCAUUGAUCGAUGAUUGUCUUACUCUUUCCCAUGAGAUUGAAUAGUGAACAUUAUUCAAGCCAAUGAAUUACAUUCUCUUUUUCUAAUUCAAUCUAGAAAAUUCAUUGACCAACUUCAAACACCACCCCUAGUGACCAUUGUCAAUCGACCAUUAGGUGUCAUUUCUGACAAUUCCAUUGACGAACUUCCAACCACCAACUUUUGCAACUGCUUCAAAUCUUUAAAAAUUAAUAAAAAUGUAUUUCUGAAUAAUUUUUUUUUUGACUCAUUUCUUUGAUUUAAUCAUAGUAAUAUUUUUUAAAAUACACAUUUUUUAAUUCUUCUAUUUUCUUUUCUUCGGCACCUUUUUUUAUAAGUAUUAUUUUUAGUUGUGAUGCGAUUCAAUUUUUAGAAUUCGAUCAUCUGAUUCUCUCUCGACUCAAUGCAGUCUUAUAGCUUUUGGGAUAAUUCUCUCUAAACCUAGGAGAACUAUUGUAUUUAUAGAGUUAACUGAUGAGUUUUAUGGGCUUCAGCCUGGUUGGUCCAUGGACCAGACCCAUUAACCACAUGUAUUUAGAUUAUAUUUAGUUUUAGGCUCGAUUAAGCUUAUUUGUUGCCUUAAUUAAACUUAGUCCAACUAAAUAAUAUUUAAUUGAACCAAAAUGAUUAAUUUAAUCCAACGGUUAAGAUGAAAACAUGUGACAUUAUUAGAAUUAACGUUUUCAAUUUUUUAAUUUGGGGCACAUAUCAAUUUUAAUUAGUCCUGAAUUUAAUUAUUUGCACUUUUCAUUAUUAAUUUAAUAAAUGAUGUGGUAAUUUGUGAUUGGUCUCAAAAUUUAUUAUUCUAACAUAUAUAUUUUCUCUUAUUUGUUUAAAAUUAAAUUUUACUUCAUUUUAGAAGAUUUUAUUUAUUUUGUUAUAUUUUUCUAAGGUGAAAAUUAAUGACAUAUAUGUCGUCAUCUCUAGUAUAAACAAAUAUUAAUAUAUUGAUAAUGAAAUGGAAAUUGCAACUAUGUAUCAUAUAUAUAUAUAUAUACACCAUGGUUUAUUUUUAGUCAAUUUAAUCGGAAGACGAAAGACUUAUUUAGAUUGACUUAAAAAAGGUGUUUUAAAUAAAAACUCAUUUUUACUUUUAUUUAGACAUAUUUUGAUAAAAGUGGUUUAAAAUACAUUGCAUGUGUGUUACACGAAAACAACCAUAACUAUAACUAUGUGUAACUCAAUUUUGCUUUUGCAUUACCUUUUUAGUUAUGCUUAUUUUGAAACCUAUUAGACCAUUUUUAAUAUUGCUUAACUAGAACUUUCGUAAACUCUAUCUGAUUACAUGAUUUGUCAUAUUUUGUGUAUGGUGUGUAAUAUUCCUACUUAGACCAUUAAUAUUAAUGAAAUUGUAAUCAAAAUUAUUGUUAUUAAUAAAUAAAUAAAUAACUAGACAAAUUAGUUAAACCCAAGAAUUCAAAAGCAACACCGCAAAUACAACAUCAGAAAUCCAAAUUUUCAAAUCAUGCACCCGAAACACAAGCAUUUGCAAUUCUCAUGCAUCAUAACCCCAUCAAAUGAGCCCACAUGCAUUCGAUUAUGAACUUGCUACUGAGAUUUAUGUCCUAAAACUCGUAGAUUGUAAAUAUAAUCCAUUGACCGUUAUUAAUAAAGUGUUAUUAUUGUAAUAAUUAUUAUUGAAUAAAUUAUUAGUUUUGUCUUAAUAACCCAAAUCCAAUAAACUAACAUCCUAAGUUGUUUAAUGAGUCUUGAACAGUAUGUGGAGACAUAUAGGGAUCGGUGUUCAAAAUCAGCUUAAAGGGUCUAUAGUAUAGGGAUAAGACUGAGUACCUUAUCCUGGUAACACUAUUGAUACGGUUUACUUUGUAUUUGAUAAAAACGCAAUGAUCCAAUGCGUUCGUGUAGUUGACAUGCGAGUGAGGGUAUCCUAUGCAAUGAGUUUGCAUAAGAUCGGACCGCGAAUUAGUAACCACUAGAUGUAACUCCGUUAACUAGUUAGGUUUCUAUUUCACUAGGAUGACUUAGGUAACUUAGUCUUAAUCCUAAAUGUGUUAUGAACUUCUGUUAGUGAGAGAUUGUCCUUUGAUUUGUACGGGUGAGAGUGACCAGACCACCGACUUAAUAAGCUUAUCAUUUUGGGGACAAGACCGAGUGGAGAGCUGGAAACAUAAUUACACAAGAUGGAAUUCACUUCUUCCUCUACUUUAUGGUAAGUAGAUGAGUGUUCCCUUAAAUGGUGUCUCCAGGUCUUGAACAAAGGGUCUUAACCUUUCCAUGGCACGAGAGGGGUUUCUGUUUAUUGGUAGGACCAUAAACAGGUUGUUCAUUAGAUGAGCACUUAUAUUUAAGGAUUAGAGGUAACCCACGGGUAAAAUGGUAAAUUGACUCAACUGGUGUUACAAACACUUGAAGGACUAACUUACUGUUAUUAAUAUAUAUCCGUGGACACAGAAAUAUAUCUACAGUGAGAAGAGUUCAGUUGUGAGUCUUUAGUGGAGUGUACACACAGUUAACGAAUAUUGAUUAAUGUGGUUAAUGAGUUUAGCCAAUUAAUCUCAAAUCGUUGUAGCUUCUAAUUUGUAGGUCUAUUAGGUCCCCUUCCUAGCUCGUAAAGGGUAAUGAAAUUUAUUUAUAUUGGUUGUAAUUUGAAAUGUUCAAAUAUACUUAGGGAAUUUGUUUAAUAUAUAGUGAUACAUUAUAAUAUAAAGUUUGUGAAACUUUAUUAUAAAUUUAAUUUUGGAUAUGAUUCAAAACUAAUUUAUGAGAGAUAAAAUAUUUGAAUAAGUUCAAAUAUUAAUGUGAAUUAAAUUCAUAUUAAACUUAUUGGUUACGAGAGAAACUUAUAUUUGAAUAUGAUUCAAAUUUAAUUGAAGUUAAUUAAAUAUGAUUAAUAAUUAAUUAAUAAUUUAGUUUUAUUUAAUUAAAUUCAUAAAAUGAUAUUGCAGAUAUAUUAAUUAAAUAUGAUUUAGUUAAUUAUAUUAAUAUAAAUGUAUAAGAUAUCGGACAGAUAAUUAUUCAAAUAAGAUUUGAAUGAAAUAUUAAUUAAAUAUAAUUUAAUUAAUUAUUAACUAAUUGAUUAAUUGUUAAUUAAUUAGUAGAUUUGAUAUUAAAAAUCUCAUAAUUAUUUCCUACUCCUUUUCCUAUUCCAAGAAGGAAAUAGAGCUAUAAAUAUCUAGAAGAAAACAGUUUUCUUCAACGAAAUUCAUUAAGAAAAAAACAAAAGCUUUUUCUCUAUGCAAAAAGAGUUUCUCACAAAUAUCUUUUAAGUCUUUUCUCAUCCCAAUUGCUUCCCACAAACCAAUCUCAUCCUCAUCCCAGAGGAUAGGAAAGUCUCCGAUGGUUCUCGUAUCUUAUCUUUAAAAAACAUGCUUAGAAUCUAUUUAUAAUUUUGAUUCUAAAAUUUUGCCAAUGUAGUGGUAUUUUUAAAAAGUUUCAUUUAAGAAAUCUAGUAUUUAAUUAAAGGCCAUUUUUCUUCUUUAGAAAACCGAUCAAAACUAAACUUUAACAUUCUCAAAUUUACUUUCAAAUACAUAAAAUUUAACAUUCUUACCAUUAUUUUCUUUUUUAUUAGUUGUUAGGAUAGAAAACAUUUAUCUUUUAAUAAAUAAUACUUUAUACAAUAAACUUAAAGACAUUUUUAAAAAUAGAAAAAUAAAAUAAAAUAUUUAUGAACGGUAGUAAAAUUUUGGAUUCUAUUACAUCAUGGACUGUAUUUAGUAUUAGGAUACACUUUCCUUCAAUUACUUUGAUUCUGGUGAAAUAGAAUAAAGCCGCGCCGGUAGUGUUGAAACUGAGAGUAGUAAGUAUUAAAUAAAAGAAAGGAAGAAGAUACAUAGCUUCCGGAAAAGAGAAGGGAAAUAUUGGUUAUUAACAAAUAAUAGUUCCAUAUGUGAAAGUUUGAGAGUAGACACCAAAACAACACAGUUUAUCGUUUUUCAUCCUCAAGAUUGGGAUACGAUCUCUCAAAUUAAAUCUCAAUUCAUCGAAUAUGCGUCUAUGGCCGGUGUAGCGCCAUAACAUCCAAACAAAUCCAUCAACAGUGGCCGCUCAGCCAUAUCUGAUCUUCGCCAUGGAUUUACCUCAAUUUCUUUACCAUCAACGGGAUCAAUCCAGGUACAUCUCUCCUCCUCCUCCUCCUCCUCCUCCCUCGGCCUCUCUUCCUCCUCACCCUUUUUUCCCCGAAGAUCCCAGUUUCCCCUUCCCUCCCAAUCACCACCACCUUCUUCAUAAUCAUCCCGAUCAACCCCUUGAUUUCCCACUCCCCCCACCGCCGCCGUCGUCCUACCGUCAUCAUCCCAUUCAUCCACCCCCAUCACCCCAACCUCCCCUUGCUUAUAAUCCCUCUCAACCCCAUUUUGUUGUUGACAACCAUCUUCCAAUUAACGACGACCCAUUCCGAUCUCCGCCCCGUCGUCGUGAAUUUCAGCGUUCCCCUCCGCUUUCCGGUCGGAUCUCUUUCGACGGAGGCUUUCAUCGUGAUUUUGUUGAUCUCAACCAUCCGUAUCAUGACAGUCGGUUUGAUGUUUCGGAUCCAUCCAGAGUCACGGUGGAUAAUCGACCACCAUUACCGCAUUCUCCUAUUGAUUUUGAACAUGGAAUGGGUCACCGAGAAAUUGAUCACAGAUCUGGCAUCCCGUAUCCGCCACCCGAUAUGUUUAGGUAUAAUUCAGGUAAUUGUUCUAGGCGGGGAGCGGAUUACGAUGAUAGUUAUCAGCCAAAUCCAAGAGAAGAGGUGCUACGUGGACGCGGCGAGGAGAACUAUUGUCACCAUGAUCACCAUAAAGAAGAUUCCAAUAUUUCCUUUAUGGAAUGUGGAGCCUCGCGGAGUCCAUUGUCUAGAGAUAAAUUUACUUCAGGAAGUUUUGAUAAACACCGGUAUGGCUCGAAUUAUGAAAAGGAAUCUUUUAGGAGUCGUAGGAAUGGUAAUGUGGUGGGGAAAAAUCAGAGAUGGGUUCAUAGCAAACAGACCUUUAGGAACAUGCACAAUUCGUACUUAGAUGGAAGUAAUGAUAGACAUGGUGACCGUACUGAUUUUCGAAAUAUAUCUGGAAAGCACGGGCAUUCUAAUGCAGAAUUAGGGAAAUAUUACUAUGACAAUAAGGGUGGUAUGGAAGGUUAUAAUGAGUACACAUCCACUCCUCGGAAGCAAGUACAGAAAAAGAGUGCUUUUCUUAGAAUUCAAAUGGCAAAUCCUUGUCACAGUAACAGAGAGAGUGAGCAAUUACGUGAUUCUGAAUAUUUUGAUGAGAAGAGCAGUUUCCUCAGAGGCAAAAGUCAGGUUAGAUCUCUAUGUUACAGAAUGGAUUCAGGGAAGAAGAGAGAGGGAAGUCCCAUGGAGCUUGAUGUUUCUUUUAAAUCCAAUUCGUUGGUGGCCAAGGCAAUUGUGGCACCAACACAGUCUACUCCUAUUUCAGAUGUGGAAACAAGGCAUGUAAAUGAGAAAACUGACUCUACUAACUCACAUUUAACUGGACAGAACAAGGUUGAUUCUGGGGCAAAUGAUGUUACAAAUCUUGUCACUUGUCCCCCAGACAUUAAAAAUGAGCUGAAGGAUUUAGAAGAGAAGGCUACAGGUCCGUUGGUUGGUAAUGGAUCUAAUAAUUUGACUGAUGCUUCUUCAGUUAAGGGCAGUUAUUCACUUAGAAAAACAAACGUUGAGAGGCCUUCACAAGGAAAGGUGUCAGAUGUAGAAGGGAAGAAUGUUUCAGGAAAAGCAGCUAUGGUAAGGACCAUGAAGAAGAAAAAAGUUGUGAGGAAAGUGGUAAAGAAGGUAGCAAGUUCCCAACUGGGUUUACAGACUAGAAAAGGUGCUGAUGAUCCACCAGUUAAAGUAGGCAGUUUGACAAAUAUUCCCCCAGAUGUUACUGGGUCUGGUAAGGAUUUAGAAGUUUCAGAAAACAAGAUCUCCACAUCUGGAAAGAACUCAGACCGUGGUUUUGUAUCGAAGGCUUUUCAGCCUGAUAUGUCAGGAUCACUAGAUAAUAGAAAAGGGGAUCAAUCUGUCCUCCCUGUAGCAUCAAAAAAAUGUCAAGCCAAUACAGUCAUGGGAAUGGAAUGUGUACCUGCAGAUAAGAGUAAUAAAAAUAGGUUAGGAUCUCCAUUGAAUUCGUUGACAAAAGAGGGAAGGGGAACUAGUGAUCAUCUUGAGACAAACAGUUCUUUCAUUGCCAUACCACCUCUUUUAAAUUCUAGUAAGAAUCUUCUAUUACAAAAUGGACAUAACAAGCUUGAUUUUGGAAUCAGUAAGGGGAUUGAAGAUUCAUCGUUUGAAAAUGUAUCAGGGUCUAAAACUACAAUGGUUUUUCUGGGAGGCAGUCAGUCUGGAUCAUUGAGUCCUAAUGAUCCUAAUCUACUUGAUGAUCUUGUAAAUGAAAAUAAUUUGACUGUUAGGAUAGAUACUCCCAUGGAUUUUGACAAUGGAGUAACUCAGUUUGAAGAUAAUACUCCACUUUCUGAAACUUUUGAUGUUGAUGGAAUUUGCAAGCGGCUUUAUACAAAUAAGGUGACUAGACCACUUGAGACUGAUGUCGUAGGGGUAUCUGCAGGAAAAGUUACAAUUAAAAAUCCUUUGGUGGGUGUAAAUCCAGAAGCAUCUGAGAUACAGGUUGAUUCCUUAAAUUUGGAAGUUGAUAACAGUGACCAACAUAUUAAACGGAAUUCAAAUGAUUGUCAUCAGUGUACUAAUAUACUAGGGGGUGAGGUUUUUAACUGUGAGAGAGUUGGUAUUUCGAGAGUACAGGAAUGUGUGGGUAGUAGUUCUGUUUCAUUAGGUUUUAGUUUAGAAGAAUGUUCUUCCAAAGUUAAGGAUCCAACACUAAGUGGAGAAGGUGAGAAAUUGUUGUCUAAGGUGAGUGAACUGGAUUUUGCAGGUCCCAAUGACAUCGAUCAAGAGAUUAAUUCUGAGAAUUUAUGUGAAAGUUUCAAUUCUGAAGGUCAUUGGCCUUCAGAGCAGGAUAUUUCAGGUCUUGGAAGUAAGUUGAUGUGGGAAAAUCCUACCACCUUUGGAGAGGGUGCAAAUCUUGAUUACACUUCAUUAGGUAAGUUGCCAAAAAAUAAAUUAUUGAUGGGGUUUGACGUUGAUAAUACAGGAACUGAGGUAUCAUUAAAGACUCGAAAAAAACAAAAAAUAUGCAUUGAUAGUCCUGUUUUGUCUUGUCCCAGUGGUGAAAUUAAUGAUGGGGCUGCAAUUACAUUCAUUUCUAGUUUAAGUGAUCAGCUAAACUCUAAUGGUGAAUUAAUGGAAGGAAAGAAGGUUGCAGUAUCCACUGUGGAUGCUUUUUUCACAGCUAGUACUGUUUCUACAGAUUGUUUAAAGGGGAUGAGCAUGGUUCUCGAUGAUAUACCGACAAAAGAAACUGCCAUAGAGGUCAAUAUAGAAAGAAACCCCCUAGAGUGUCUCUUGAAAUAUGAGCAGCUGGAAAAAAACCCUUGUUCAAUCCAGGUCUCAACUGUUUCAAAGUGUCAGUCACUUUCUCCCUCACUGGGAUAUGAACAAGGAGUGACUGGUGCUACCUUAAUGGCAACAAAUCAAAGUGAUGAUAUGGAUGUAGUCACUGACAGAAGAAAAGAACUAAACAUUCAUGCUGCCGAAGGACAAUCUACAAUUUGUAAUAAGACUGAACAGUGGGACAGUCCUUCAGAAGUUCCAUCCUCUCAAACCUUAGAUCGUCCAAAUCCUGAAUCAGUCAAAUCAUCUAGUAAUGUUGGCCAGGAUAAUUUGCAUCAUAUUGAAAUCUCUUUUGAUGAGAAGGGAUACCCUGCUGCCAAUUCUGACAGGGAAAUUAAGGGCAGCAUGUUUGAUACACGAGGUCAUUUGGGUUCUUCAGAAGCAUCUAAUGUUCCAGAGAUGCAUAAAUUAAGUUGUGAAGCAUCAUUCAGCCAUACUGAUUCCAAAAUGGAUUGUGCAGAUGAUGAAAAAGUGAAGAAGAAAUCUAAUGUUGAAAAUGAAUUAAAGGCAUCCACUGACACUCCGUUUUCACAGCCUUUGGCUGUUCAUAGAAAAUUAGGUUGUACCAAUUCUGUAAAUAUUUUGUCCACCGGCAAUAUAUUACCACAGGCUUUGGAAGCAUUAAAAAAUGGACUUCAAGCUGACAAUAAUUCUUCCAACUCAUGCAAAAAAGAACAGAAAAUGAGUUAUUACAAAUCUCAGGCUUUUCCUGCUAAAUCCUUUUCCACAUACCCUGCUUCAAAAAAUUUAACAUCUGCAGCCUAUAGUAAAAAACCCAGAAGUUGGCAUCGAAAUGUAAAUUCUCCGUCUCCGGCUCUUGGAAAUAAGCCUUCUUUGAGCUCUAUUCCUCCCCAAGGGCAGUUACAUGGAGGAGGUGGAAUGCUUCAGAGUACUUCAUACAUUCGUAAAGGUAACAGCCUAGUUCGAAAGCCUUCUCCAGUUGGUGCACGAGUUUUGGGCUCUCAUGAUUUGAGUUCAAGCUCAUUAGAUCAACAUGAUUGCUGGCCUGGCGUAAAGUCUAACAACAAGGUUGAGGUCACUAACUCUUGUUUCCAUUCUAAAGCAAGGGGAACUGAUGCUAAUGUUUAUAAGACCUAUCCUCCCCGACUAUCUAGUGGGUCUGAGUCGCCCAAUUAUUCUGUUCCUGUGGGAGAUUGUGCCCCAUCUCCUUGCCAUGAAACUGAAUCAAAUCUCAUGAAGUCUAAACAUGUUAGUGAUUUGUCAAAGUCGGUUGGGGAUUCACUGAAGAUUUUGCCAGCUCCUAAAAGUCAGGUUGUUACAGCUGAUAAGAAAGAAAAUCUGGCUGAAAUGAAAAACACAAAUUCUGUUUCUUUAGUUUUAAAAAAGAUGGUGUAUGUGAAGCGCAAGUCAAAUCAGUUGGUUGCAACUUCAAAUCCCUGUGAUUUAUCAACUAAAAACAGCGAGACGACUUGUUCCUUGGGCUCUGAUGGUUAUUACAAGAGGAAAAAGAAUCAGCUAAUCAGGGCCCCAUCAGAAUGUCAGACGAAGCAGACUUUACUGCCCACUGAAGAUAUUUCAAAGCCAGGAGCCCAAAGCUCUUAUGGAGAUGGAGACGCUAGAAAUUUUAAUAAGAGGCGACAAUUUAAAGGUAUUAUAGCUAAAUAAGAGCUUUAUUGCGUUGCCCUGGAAAUGUUUCCAUUGGAACAGUAUAUUAUGAACAAUUUCAUUUAGAUUCUAAAUUUUUAAUAUUUUAUUUCACUGUCCUGUAAUGAAUACCAUGAGCAUACAUCAUAGAGGAGGCAGUUUUACAGGACUUUCGCAUUUUUUUAUCCCUUGUGUCUGCCUCCAGGGACACACUUUUUAGUGCUUGCAGUACUGUGUAUCUUUCUCUACACUGUUCAAUCUCUUAAUCCGAUUAAUUAUAUAGUUAAUUAGCAAUAGCUUUAGCCUUAAGUACCGGAUAUUGUUAAAUUUUCCUGUCCUUCGAUAGAAGGUUUGUAAGUUUCUCCUUUUCCAUUUCACUCAUUGGGAAUUUUUAUAUUUGAACGUGUAGCACUUUUUUGUUUUGGGGUGAAAAAAAGAACAUAUUUAUGGCGUUCCUUUCUUUUAUUGGUUAGAAAAUAAACUGUUGAUUCAUGUAUCUAGGUGUUAAAAAUCGAAUAAUCACAAUGGAUACUUUUCUGGAUUUUUAGCUUUUACAUAAUGGGUCUGAAAACGUUUGAGAUCUAGUUUUUUUUUUCACGUAUUUCCUUUUCCAUUGUUGUUGUAUACUCUCUGAGUUCACCUCCAUAAUAAAAAAAAAUUAUGAUAAUGAUAGGAGAUAUCUUAAAUUUUUGUCUUUCAUUUACGAGAUCUGUAUUAAAUCAUUGCUGACUUUUGUUCUUACAAGUCAUUCAAUUGAUUUGUCUUGUUUGGUGUUUCAUCCCAAAUAUGUUUUGUAUCUCUAAUAACCAUUGUUUCUUUCUAUCUUUAAUUUUCUUCUGUGCAUUUGGGGUAGGUGAGGACCUAGUCGUCUUGGCACUCAUCAUUGCUUUAGGAUGAAAUGUAGUCAAUAAUAAAACUGAAUAUGGAUUUUCUUUACAGCUUUAUUGGAAACACAUGGGCCGUCAAAAUCCUCUUUGGUAUGGACACUUUGCAGUUCAGUUGCUGCAGGAAAUGGUGCUGGUAAUUUGCAGAAUCACAAGAUGGCUCCUCGACUUUUUCCUUGGAAAAGAACAUAUUGGAAGAUGUUCAAACUAAAUGCUUCUACUCAGAGAAACAGUUCGACUAUAGUCAGGUAUGUUGUGCUUGAACUAUUUCUAAUCUUAUUCGUGCUUGUUUCAUUUUUCAACAUAAGGGGGCUGUUAGGUUCAACAAGUGGUAAUUCCAGCGUUUUUUUUCCACCAGAAAAUUGUUGCUAUUGAGGAACAGGAACACAGUUUAUAAAAGAUCAAAACAUGGAUUUUCACUUCGAAAAUCCAAGGUACUAAGUGUUGGCAGAUCUAGUUUAAAGUGGUCAAAAUCCAUUGAAAAGCACUCAAAGAAAGCUAACGAGGUUUGUUGGAAGUUGGUUAAUAAUAUAUUCAUAGGCUGCAAUUUUUUCUUCCUUUUAGUCUCCUACUGUUUUAUUCUUUCUUACGGGCACUGGUAGAGGCAAGAAUGACCUUUGACCUUUUUGUUUAUAACAUUUUUUUUAGAAAAUAGUUUGUUUUUCUUCUUUAAUAUAGGAAGCUACAAGGGCAGUUGCUGAUGCAGAUAGGAAGAAAAGAGAACGUAACUGGGAUCCAUCUGUUUCCUCUGACACUCUGGGUGGAAGUCAAUUUUCUUGUAAGUCUGUUGGAUACAAUUUCUAUGAGAUUGUGUUUUAAUUUUUCUAGCAUGCCAAAUGAUCUGUAUUUCCUUUAAUGAAGUGAUGGGGUUUGAAAAAACAAGAACAUUUUAAAAUUAUAUUCAUGAUGAUGAAAUAAGAUAGUUUGUUGUCAAGACAGUUAGAUAGACUGAUUAGUUAUACCCCAAACUAAUCAGCUGUUAUAUUUUGUUGUUAGUUGAAACUAAUCAGCUGUUUAAAACUGAUUAGUUAUACCCCAAACUACCAAAACUGAUUGUAACUACCACAUACAAUUCAUCAAUAAAUAGCCAUUCUCCAGCUGAGAAUAGGCAGAGAAUUCAUUUGAGAAAUUAGUUCUACCUUGAUUUACAUCAAGUGGUAUCAGAGCAGCCCCGAUCCUCGGACGGAUGGCUGGCCGGAGAGUAGGAAUCCCUGCCGCAGGGAAUAACUGCGAGCAAGAAGAGGUGGAGGAGAUCGCCACCUUCUCUCCAAGGACAUCCACGGUACGCUUGCUGGCCGUCGAAGACUCCUUGGGAGAUUUACACAAUAAGAUGAAUAGAGUAAUGGACAGCUUGGACUCUCUAACUUUGAAUGGACAGACUACCGGCACCGACAAGGAUCGAAGACUAUGACUGAAACGCAGGAAAUAGAGGAGGCCGGUGAGCUCGAAGGAACUUCAGAAACUGGCCUAAUCAAAGAAGGAGACCGAUGGACAUUCCGCUACGGCAUGCCGACGAAGACAACCAAGAAGACGACGAAGACUAGCAGAAUGCGCAAGAUUAUGACUCUUCCAAUGGUGACGAACAAGGAAAUAUUUGUAACGACAAUGGAGAGUUUUGAAUGGCUCAAGGCUACAAAGGAUAGGAGGCACAAAGGGAAGUCCAUCACGACUACAAGAUGAAGAUUGACCUCCCGACCUAUAACGGUAAACGAGACAUUGAAUCCUUCUUGGAUUGGAUUAAAAAUACCGAGAAGUUCUUCAAUUAUAUGGACACUCUGGAUAAAAAGAAAGUACACUUGGUGGCCCUGAAAUUGAAAGGAGCCUCUGCAUGGUGGGACCAACCAGAGAUAAAUAGACAAAGAUUUGGCAAACCACCUAUACAAUCAUGGGAGAAAAUGAAGGAACUUUUGAAGGCGCGUUUCCUAUCCUCGAACUACGAGCAAACGUUGUACAACCAGUACUAGAAUUGCCACCAAGGGAGCCGAACCAUAGCUGAGUACAUUGAAGAAUUCCACAGACUAAGCGCAAGAACCAAUCUGAGUGAGAAUGAGCAGCAUUAGAUUGCAAGGUUCGUUGGUGGGCUAUGAUUCGAUAUCAAGGAAAAGGUGAAGCUGCAGCCCUUUCGUUUCCUGUCGGAAGCCAUUUCCCUCGCAGAGACUGUAGAGGAAAUGAUGACGGUACGCCUGAAGAGUUCCAAUAGGAGGGGCACAUAGGAAACAAAUAUCUCCAAAAGACAAUCUUACAGCAGGAAGACAGAUGAACAACCGGCAACACCAGCUGCAGAGAAGAGUAAGGAAGUUGAUGCCCAAGAGACAAACAAAAAGAAAGUCGAAGCAAUUAAGGAAAAGAGCCAAAACAACUACGCUCGCCCAUCCUUGGGGAGCUUUCGGUGUGGUGAGCCCGACCACUUAUCCAACAACUGCUCCCAAAGGAGGACCAUAGCGUUAGUAGAGGAGGAAGGCAAUGGUACGACUGAAGAAGAAAGAGAAGAAGAAGAAGAGACAUAGCUGAUUGAAGCGGACGAUGGAGAACGGAUCUCUUGUGUUAUUCAAAGAGUUCUCAUUGCCCCCAAAGAGGAAACGGCCCCCAGCGCCGCAGCCUAUUCAAGACGAGAUGCACCAUCAACGGCAAGGUGUGUGAUAUCAUAAUUGAUAGUGGGAGCAGUAAGAACUUUGUAGCAGGAAAGAUCAUGGCCGUCCUUGUCCUAAAGACAGAUCCUCACCCUGAUCCUUAUAAAAUAGGAUGGGUGAAGAAGGGAGGACAAACCAUGAUUAACGAAAUUUGCACAUUACCCCUUUCCAUCAAAAGUAACUACAAAGACCAGAUUGUGUGAUGUGAUAGAAAUGGACGUGUGCCAUUUACUCCUAGGCAGACCGUGGCAACAUGACACUCGAACCCUACAUAGGGGGAGAGAAAAUACCAAUGAGUUCCAGUGGAUAUGGACGUGUGCCAUUUACUCCUAGGCAGACCGUGGCAACAUGACACUCGAACCCUACAUAGGGGGAGAGAAAAUACCAAUGAGUUCCAGUGGAUGGAAAGCAAAGUAAUUCUACUCCCAUUAACAAAGAAAAAUACUGAAGGCCUAAGACAGAAGAAAAAAGGCCAGCUGUUCAUCACAGUAGGAGAGAAGAAGAUGUUGAGAGAAAGGGAGCAAGAUCUAUUGGGGCUUGUAGUGGCUGACAAACCCCAGGAGAAAGAAUGUGAGAUUACCGACCCUAGAUUGGAGAGCUUGUUCGCGGAGUUCCCCCACCUGAAGAACGAGCCACAAGGUCUACCACCGAUUCGUGACAUCCAGCAUCAGAUUGACCUCAUCCUAGGAGCAUCACUUCCUAACUUAGCACACUACAGGAUGAGCCCAGAAGAGUAUAAAAUCCUGCAUGAUCACAUAGAAGACUUGCUGAGAAAGGGUCAUAUCAAGCCAAGCCUUAGCUCAUGCGCCGUGCCUGCACUACUCACACCUAAGAAGGAUGGAAGCUGGAGAAUGUGUGUAGACAGCAGAGCUAUCAACCGAAUUACUGUGAGGUAUCGGUUCCCCAUUCCUCGAAUUGGAGACCUGCUGGAUCAGCUAGGCAAGGCUGCUAUCUUUUCAAAGAUUGAUCUAAAAAGCGGCUAUCACCAAAUAAGGAUCAGACCAGGGGACGAAUGGAAGACAACCUUCAAGACAAAUGAAGGCUGUUCGAAUGGUUGGUUAUGCCUUUUGGCUUAUCCAACGCACCUAACACCUUUAUGAGGUUGAUGAAUCUCAGGUGCUACAACCAUUCCUAAACCAGUCCAUAGUGGUUUACUUUGACGAUAUCCUCGUAUACAACAAAAACAGUGAGGACCAUAUUCAACAUCUGAAGAAACUGUUUCAAGUCUUAACAGAAACAGAGUUGUAUAUCAAUCCAAAGAAAUGCACAUUCCUCAUCAGGGAAAUUGUCUUUCUCGGCUUCUUAAUCAAAGAAGGGAAGGUAGGCAUGGAACCAAAAAAGACAGAAGGCAUACAGUCUUGGCCAGUACAAACUUCAAUCAAAGAACUACAAGCUUUCCUUGGCUUGGCAUCCUUCUACCGAAGAUUCAUCAUAAACUUUAGCUCAAUAGUGGCCCCUUUAACUGACUGCCUAAAGAAAGGAAACUAUAAAUGGGACGGAAAUCAACAAUAGAGCUUCGAAGAGAUUAAAAGAAGACUAACUUCCAGCCCUAUUCUACAAUUGCCAGGUUUCACAUCACCGUUUGAAGUGGCUGUUGAUGCUUGCGGAACUGGAAUUGGAGCUGUAUUGUCACAGCAAGGCCACCCUAUUGAGUAUUUCAGUGAGAAACUAAGCACAUCAAGACAGUCCUGGAGCACAUAUGAACAAGAGCUUUAUGCCCUUGUCCCAGCACUCAAACAGUGGGAACAUUACCUCCUAAGCAAAGAAUUUGUACUUCUAACAGACCACUUUUCCUUAAAGUAUCUACAGUCACAAAAGAGCAUCAGUCGAAUGCAUGCUCGAUGGAUCUCCUUCCUACAAAGAUUUGAUUUUGUCAUCACGCACCAAAGUGGUAAAGAUAACAAGUUGGCAGACGCCCUAUCCAGAAAAAGCUCCUUGCUUACUAUCUUAUCAAUGGAGGUCGAGGCAUUUAAACAUCUACCUAACCUAUAUAAGGAAGAUGUUGAUUUCUCCCAAAUGUGGACUAAAUGCAACAACUUUAUCAAGGCUGAAGAUUUUCACAUGAUGGAAGGUUAUCUAUUCAAAGGAGAUCAGUUGUGUAUCCCGCACACAUCACUUCGGGAAGCCUUAUUAAAAGAAGCUCAUUCGGGAGGAUUGGCUGGACAUUUCAGGCAAGACAAAACCUUCGAAAUAAUCUCUAAGAGAUUCUAUUGGCCUCAACUAAGAAGAGACUGUAACAAUUUUGUCAACAGAUGCCCUAUAUGUCAAAGAGCUAAGGGCUCAAGUACAAACGCAGGCCUAUAUUCACCACUACCUACCCCAAUUUCCAUUUGGGGAGAUCUCCCAAUUGAUUUCGUGCUCGGACUGCCCAAGACCCAAAGACAGUAUGACUCAGUCAUGGUUGUAGUUGACAGAUUCAGCAAGAUGACACACUUUGUAGCCUGCAAAAAGACAAAUGACGCCACCUACAUAGCUAAUCUCUUCUUUCGAGAGAUAGUACGGCUGCAUGGAAUACCAAAUACCAUUGUUUCUGAUCGGGAUGUCAAAUUCCUAAGCCAUUUCUGGAAGACAUUAUGGAACAAAUUUGACACAACCUUGAAAUAUAGCACAACAGCACACCCUCAAAUAGUUGGCCAAACAGAGGUUACAAACAGGACCCUUGGCAACUUAAUACGCUGUCUCAGUGGAUCCAAACCAAAGCAGUGGGACUUAGCUCUUGCUCAGGCAGAAUUCGCCUUCAACAAUAUGAAGAAUAGAUCAACCAGCAAAUGUCCAUUUGAGGUUGUAUUCACGAAACAACCAAGGCUAACCUUUGACCUAGCAUCACUCCCCGCAACUAUGGACACUAGCUCAGAAGCAGAAAAGAUGGUAGAAAAUAUUCAGAACUUACAUGAAGAGGUCCACAGUCACCUAAAAGAAUCAACUCAGUUCUACAAAGAGGCAGCAGACAGAAAGAGAAGACAAGCUACCUUUACUGAGGGAGAUUUAGUAAUGAUUCACCUUAGAAGAAACCGAUUCCCAACUGGAACAUACAACAAACUGAAAGACAGACAAUUAGGACCAUUUUGUGUCCUAAAGAAGAUCAGAGAUAACGCUUACAAAAUAGAACUACCACCAGACUUACACAUUCAUCCUAUUUUUAAUGUAGUAGACCUAAAACAGUACUAUGCCCCAGAUGAUUUCUAUGCUAGGGGGGUGGAAUGAUGUAAUAAGAUAGUUAGUUUGUUGUCAAGACAGUUAGAUAGUUAGUCUGUUAUAUUCUGUUGUUAGUUGAAACUAAUCAGCUGUUUAAAACUGAUUAGUUACCCCAAACUACCAAAAUUGAUUGUAACUACCACAUACUUCAUCAAUAAAUAGCCAUUCUCCAGCUGAGAAUAGGCAGAGAAUUCAUUUGAGAAAUUAGUUCUACCUUGAUUUACAUUACAUGACAUACCUCCCAGCUAGUUGAUAUUUGCUUUUGUGGUGCACAUUACUUGUCGUCUUUCUCAGAAUCUUUUGGCAGCCUGGUUUCUGUUUUUUCUGUUAGAAAACUGUUGAAGUGCAGUUUCUUCACUUUAGUUUUUGUAACAUUUUUUCCCUUGUACUUUUCUUGUUUCAAGGAUUCCUUUUUCUUUUAAUUUAUUUAAUUUUAAUUUUUUUUAUUUUAAGUCACUGGACAUUAGGAGCUCCAUCUGCUUUAUUUUGUUGGUUGUUUUUCAAUGUGGUCUUCACUGAACUUUUUAAAAUAUAAGAAAGAAGAUGUAUUGGAAACCAAAACAUUACAGCAGUUCAAUACUGGAUUUAAAAUAUGUUAGAACCGAACUAUAUAUUCUCAUAACAAGUCUCUAUUUAUGAGUAUUGAAAGCAAUAAACAGGAAACCAAGACUUACGUGGAAACUCAAGUACUGUGAGAAAAACCACGAUAUUGUUGUUUUUAUUAUUUUCUUAUGAAUUAUUCAAUUGGUACAAUAAGGGAGAAUAAAUAGAAUACACAAAGGAAUAAAAAAGGAAAAGAUUUAGACAUUAGGGUAAAUAUUUCCCUAAUCUUUCCAUAAAUAUCCAAAGGGCCAAGCCCACUAAUUCUAACAAUGAGCGAUCCAGUAUAUUUAUUACUUACAUUCACAGGUUUAGUAGGUAUUGGCAAUCUCUAAUUUCAUUGCUAUUCCUCAUUUUUCAUGUUCUACAGAUGACCAAGCAUCCGGUUCUACUACUUUCCAACCAAGAACGAGUGCUAAGAAAUUUUAUAUUCCAGCGAGACUAGUGAUUGGCAAUGAUGAGUAUGUGAUUUAUUUAAACUAAUGCAUGUUUCGAGUAUGUGCAUGGAUAUUAGAUGAACAGUAUACUUGUGUAAUAUCACUAUAAUUUUUGUUUUUUCUGUAUAAACAAAAAUGCAGAUUUUAGUACUUCAUUUUCAUAGACAUAAAAGUUUCGAGACAAUUGUGCUACUAACGUUCUUGUAAUUGACUCUGAAUGACUGGUAGGUAUGUUAAGAUUGGAAAAGGCAAUCAAUUGGUCCGAAAUCCAAAAAGAAGAGCACGCAUACUGGCAAGUGAGAAAAUUCGAUGGAGUUUGCACACUGCGAGACAGCGGCUGGCUAAGAAGCGGAUGUACUGUCAAUUUUUCACAAGAUUUGGUAAAUGUAACAAAGAUGGUGGCAAGUGCCCUUAUAUUCACGACACUUCCAAGAUUGCAGUCUGCACAAAAUUUCUCAAUGGUUUAUGUUCUAACGCAAGCUGCAAAUUGACUCAUAAGGUUCACUAAUUGAACUGAUGAAUCUUUUCUUGCGUAAGCUUUAGUUUUGUUAAUGGUCAAAUGUCGAUAACCUUUCAUCUCAAUUUUUGAUCCUCACAGGUGAUUCCAGAAAGGAUGCCUGAUUGUUCAUACUUUUUACAGGGUACUUCUCAAACUUUAACUUCUCCAAAAAAAGAAAAAAUAUUUAUAGGACUCCAGGUUUAUAAGGACUUCUUGACAGGUUUAUGCAGCAGCAAAAAUUGUGCUUAUAGACAUGUAAAUGUGAACUCAAAGGUUCCUACUUGCGAGGCUUUCCUUAGGGGCUAUUGUGCUCUGGGAAACGAGGUAAUCUCCACUUUUCAAACAUUAUUUUCUGGCUACUUAACAUGAAGCACUUGCACAUUUAUUUAAUUUAGUCUUAACUCUUAACAAAUAUGCUGCAAAUUUUCUGGUCAAACACAUUGUUUGCUCCCUGAAACGAAACUCCCUGAAAAUCUUCAAUUUUUGCAAGUGUGCUUCUUGAUACUGGUGACCCUUCCUGACCGAGGACCCAAUAAUUUUUUCCGGUGGCGGAUGCUGAAAAAUAGUUCAAAAGAUAUUUUGUUGACUGUUUCUCAGAAAUGCUUUUAUCUUACUUCUAAAUUUGCUCCUUUAGACGCCAUUUGAAUUUUUAAAGACAAUAUCAAGUUUUUAACUCAAUAAUAUGUCGUGUGUAACUGUAAAUUGUGAAUCUAAUGAAACCUGGAACCUAAUUGUUCAGUGCCGUAAGAAGCACAGUUAUGUGUGCCCCUUGUUAGAAGCAACAGGAACAUGCCCGGAUAGAUCAACAUGCAAACUUCACCAUCCUAAACGACAAACUAAAGGAAGGAAAAGGAAGCGAUUGGAAGGGAGGAAUAAUGAUCAAGGACGCUACUUCGGUUCUACGAAUCAGGAUGUUUCUAGAUCUAGAUUGGUGGUGAGUGAGAAGCAGCUUCCUGUUAAAUCAAGUGACCCUUUUCUUGAAGAUCUGACAGAUUAUAUCAGCCUUGAUGUCGGCAGUGAUGAAGAUAUUGAAGAAAGUCGUGACUCGACAAGCCAGACUACGUCCUUUAGUCAAGGUUACCUCUCUGAGUUAUUGUUAGAAGAUCCCGACGAGCUAAUCAAACCAAUUCGGGUAAUGAAUGAGAAUUUGACUGUGCAGUAGUUGGCAAACUGAGUUGCUUGCUCCUUCCUCGUUAGGAGCAAGGUUUGUGUCCGUUCUCUCACCAUUAAGGUUUAACAGAAUCACAGUUUAGUUUAGUUUUAGUUUUAGUUUUAGUUUUAGUUUAGUUUUUUUUUUCUUUCUUUGUUUAGUUUAGUUUCAGCUUCUUCUAGUUGCAGAAAUCUGGAUAACUCCGUUUCUGCCAUUACUGUAAAUAGACAUUUAAAUUUGACAGGAAUGAAAUGAUUUUGUAUGAAAAGCUAAAAUAUUCUUUUUUAUUUUUUUUCUCUCUUCCAUAACACUUACCUAGGGUAACUAUUGUCUUCAUCCAAACUUUAUUUUUACUCCAUUCUGUUUAUUCUCUCUUUCUUUUUUAUUGAUGUUUUCAAAUAUGAACCUAACAUUGUAAAAUUUCAGAUAUUUUCAUGAAAUUUUGUGAUAGUUCUACCAUUUAUAAUAAUUCUUUUUUAUUCUCUUUGGUUUUAUUAAUAAUUAUUUCUAUUUUAUACCAUAUAUCUUCAAAAUUUCUUCAACUGUCUAUAAAAGGUUUAUAUUAUUUGUCAUCAAUUAUUUUAUUGUGUAUGGAUAUGUAUUGAAUUUUAUUCUUUUGAAUGAUGUGUGUAUGUUGGGUUUCACAAAAAGUUUAAGUAAAGGCGUUUUAGGUUUAGUCACAAAGUUAGUUUAUAAACUAAUUUGAAAUAGUUUUCUGAUUUUAAAAAGUAGCUAAUAUGCUCGUAAACCUAAUAAAAUAUUUAUUUGAAAUUAACUAAUUGUUACGUGAGAUUAGUCAAUUAACCUUACAAUAAACUCAAAAACUUCCAAAUGCCACUUUUAUUCGCAUAUAUUUUUUAAUUUUAUUCGAAAUAAAAAUAUCAAUAAAGAAUAGAAUUAAAAAAAGGAGACGUUAAUAGAUAUUUUUAUAUAAUUUCUUACAUUAUAAUAUUUACAUCAUUAAACAUGAACCGAUUGAGGUCGGAUACUAUUUUGUUGCUAUGGAUGUUUCGUGAACAACGUCAUGGACCGCUGGUUUUGUGAGUAAUCCAUUAUUGAAAUGUAAAGUUUGAGAAAGCAUGAAGAUUAAGAAUCUGUUUGGAUUGAAUUAGAAACAAAAUAUUUUUCAAAAAUACAUUUUCUUUUAACACUUUCUUGAAAAUGAGUUUAAAUUUAAACACUUACAUGUUUGGUUAGACUUUUUUAUAAGUGUUUAUAUGUAAAUUUUAUUUAAUUUCUAUAUACCAAAAAUGUUUUAUACUUAACUUAAAGAACUACUAAAUACGAUCAUCUAAUUUCAUAAAAAACACAUAUAUUUUAAUUUUAAAAAAGAAAUAUGCUUUGAAAUUAAUCACACUAUAUAUUGGAACUAAUUAUUUUAAAAUUUUGAAAUUUGUAAAGUUAGAACUAAAAACAUUUUUUUUUAUUAAUUUUUAUUUUAGGACUAGAAGUAUAUUGAUAUUUAAAUUGAUAAACAAGAUAUUUAUUUAUUUAUUUAUUCUUUUAAAAAAUAAAUAAAAGAAAUUAAUAAUACCUUCCGAAAUAAACACACAAAUGAUAAUAACCACGUAAUCUGCACCGAAGCGGCCCCCUUGGGAGAAAAAGAAAACUGCAGAAAGGAAAUUCCAAAGAGGGCAGACUGGCGGUAGCAGAAAGAAAGAAGAAGACUAAGGCAUUUAGGGCAAAGCUUUGAACAUUCAUAUUCCUCAUAACAAUGCCGGUGGAAUGAAUCGCUUCUAAGGGAACAUCCCACGGGGUACCCACACCUUUCAUCGAAGAACUACUGAAGUUCGAAGUUUUCUUACGCGAUUUUUCUGCUUUUUGAUUCAAUGGUUGACGGGAGUACUGGAAUGCAUUUUCCCGAUCAUCGGUUGGAUAGGUCAUUGUGUCAAAGUUUUUGUCACGGAAUUGUGGAGGGGGUGUCUGGGGUGGAAGAAUGUGACAAGGACUAUCUGAAUUUCUUAAAUGAUUUGACGUACGGUGUGGACAGUAAUGAUGAGAACGUUGAUGCUUAUCUUGAGGAUGGUGAUAAUUCGACUUCACACUUUAACUGGUCGGAUAAAAAAGUUGAUCCUGUUUAUAGGAUGUUUUUUCACCAUUUGAUCGGAGAUGGGAAAGCUUAUAAGCUUGAAAUUCCAUCGGUUAAUGGGAUGAAAGUGUAUGCUGUGAAGUACGAGGAACAGGAACAAGAACAAUCAAGUCUUAAUAGAAAAAGACCUGGAACUACCAGGAUCUUAAGGAGUGAUUCAAAGAGAAUGAAGAUAGAGAGCCAACCUAAAAAAAGCCCGGUUUUUUCAUUUGAAAAAGAGUUCAAUGUGGAUUGUGCAAAAUCUAUUGAUGGAAAUUCAAGCACAAUCCCCGGUGCACUUCCUCGUUCUGCUAAGCAUCUUUUCCAAUCCAAUUCUGACUCGAAUUUGAUAGAUGAAGACUACAAGACAUUUUUGAAUGAUUCCUUUUAUGAUGAUGAUCAUACAUUGACAUAUACGCCAGUGGACGGUAGGUCAAUUGUCUAUGAGGACGGUGAAAGUAUCUCUGAUUCAGAAGUGCUGAUGUUUGAGACUGAUCCAUGUAAGCAAAACCGUCGUUCCUUUGGGAGAAAAUAUUCUUGUUUUACUGUGAGUAUAUCUAAUUCCGGUGCUAUGAUCUCUCUGUAUUCUAAUGAGGAAUGAUAUCUGUUUCUGUCUGUUCUUUGCCUAUAUUAGUUAUUCUAUGUCUUACAUUGAUAGAUUUCUCUCUUUCCAGGUGGACGUAGAUAGUGGGAAGUGUCUUAGUCUUGGUAGACGUACUGGUUCCAAUUUCAGGGAAAGGCUCAUGAAAGUUCUUAAAAGUCCAUACGACGAACGUCAGUAUGACUAUUAUCUUGAUGAAGUAAGUCGUCGUCGGCCACAAGUGCGUCAUAGAGAGUUACGUAGUCGAGUGCUAAAAGCAUAUCAACUGGAUUCUUACGGCAAAUCAUAUCUUCAUAUCCAUAGUGGUGAGUUUUCUUAAUCCAAUUGUAAUUUUCUUUUGAAAUUAUAUUGACUGGAUUUUUUUGUUAUCAAUUACCAUUCUUCUUCAGUGUGUUCAAAGGUACCUGAGGAACAUAUUUCCUGUAGACUUUCAUCCUUAGAGAGGAUCUUCUUACCCUGAUCUGAUACUUUUAUCAGAUUUUACUUUCAUAGUUUGCUGCAAUAUUUUCUCGUUAUUAAAGAUAAAAUAGUUCUUCAGUAUUCUGACUUUCAAAGAACUAAUAAAUGUUAGAAGAAACCAUGAGUGAUUUUCUACUACUAACAUGGUAUCUACUCGAUCCAUCUACUAUGUCACACCAUUUUGAAAUGUUUUGAUGUGACGACAUGAAAUUUUUUUCAUACUAACAUAGUACUAGAUGUUGGCCCACGGAACUACCUUCUAGCUUGAUGUGAUGAAUGUUUUAUCUUAGAAAGUGUUAAAGUAACCUUUUUGACAUGUCCUAUUGUUUGUCAAAUAGAUAUCUGAUUUACUCUUGCUUUUUUUCGGUUCAUUAAUUUAUUUGCAUGAUGUUUGUUAUUACCGGUGUGAGGUUCUAUAUACUAAUAGUAUCUCCUAUGUUUUCUUACUGCAGAGCUUGCUACGAAAAUCCAAGCAGUUCAAUAUGAUCGCCUUAGAACUUUGACUCUACUGCGUGGCUUCUUCUAUUGGUUGCAGGUAGUUUUUAUAUUAAUUUAGCACAAAUUUUUAUUUCAGUAGACAUUUUUAAAGAAUGUCUCAAUGGUUAAGCAGCAUUUCCUCUCUUAAAAGGUCGGAAAUAUUAUUGUUGAACUUGAAAAAAUAGUCAUUUUUAGCAAUGAGUAGGGAUGACACGAAAGUGAAAUGAAGUUUUCUCACCAGCCAGUUCUUUGUUUUUUUUUUUCAAACUGAAACAAGUAGUUUUAUUAGAGAUCAGGAAGAGGCACAAGCUCAAGCUCAGUGUACAAGAGAGUUAUACAAGAGCUUACUAGAUAACUAGAACAAGAGGCAAAAUAAAAACUAAACAAAGGAGGUAAGCUAAAUUACACAAGACAGUAAAAUCAUAAGUGCAAAACUCAUUGGGGCAGAAUCAAGCUGGAGAAAUGAAAGCGUUCCAAUUAAGUUAAGAUGUUGAAUGCUGUAGCUGCUGAAAAUCUUUGAGUUCGAACACCAGGAGGAGGCAUUACAAUGAGCUAUAUCAAAGCGGUUCGUCCAAUCACCUGAUUUGUCAUGGAACACCUUUUGAUUCCUUUCAAACCAAAUUUCUGCCAAUAAAGCAUUCACCGGGUUUACCCAUAGUAAAGGAGCUUCUUUAUUUAGCUGGAGACCGCUUUGUUAAAGCAUCACAUUAUCACAAAAAGAUGCUCCAAGCGCCCAUGACAAAUUAAAGAUUUUAAACAGCCUUUUCCAAAAGUUGGCCAAAAACUUACAGAGGAAGAACAAGUGUUGGGAAUCUUCUGCAUGGUGUAGACAGUGGGCAAAUGGAGGGAGAGAGGCAACUAUUAGGUAGCUUACGUUGUAAAACUGAGAAGACAUUCAAUUGCUCUAUCAAUGUUAUCCAAACAAUGAUACUUGAUAAUGCAGAGCCCCAGUGAUCAGUAACCGAACCAUUGUGAAAUAAUGUUAUUCGGAACAACCGUGGAAAUGUUAAAAUGAAGAGUUGACACACCCUUCCAUGGAUCUAACCAAAAAGCUAUCCUUCUCCAUUUCUCAAUCUAAAGGUGGCCAAAGCUUCUAUUUUCAACCAGGUUCUGGCUAUACUCAUCCAAGGGCAUCUCGAGCAAAUGCCUUCUUUUCCGACAAUGUGCUAAUUAAAAGAGCCUUUGUCGUGGAUGCUCCUGAUAAACCUUUCACCCCCAUUUGGCUAGAGAGCCAAGUUUUUUAUUUUAGGGGACCGAGGCCUCCAUCCAAAGAAGAUUUAUUGACCAUUUUCCAAUUGACAAGGUGGCUUAAUUUACUGCCCUUAUGACCCUCCCAAAAGAAAUUCCUCAGAAUUCUUUCCAAUUUUGAAGAGACUCCUUCUGGCAAUAGAAAUGUAGACGUGUAGUAAGUGGGAAUAUUUAAAAGGGCAGAUUUAUAGAGGGUAGCUCGACCCCCUCUCGAAAGGUUAAACCUCUUCCAUUUAUCUAACUUUAUUUGGACUUUAUCAAGCACUGGUUGCCAAAAAGAGGAAAGUUUGGUGUACCCCCCUAACGGCAAUCUGAGGUAGAUCAAAGGGAGGUGAUCUACCUUGUACCCCAAAGAGGAUGCGGUGGACAACAAAUCCAUUUCUUACACAUUGAUCCCACAUAAUGUCAACUCGUCCCAGUUCACUUUUUGGCCGGAGCACCAUUCAAAAAGCUUUAUUGUCUGUUUCAAAUUUUCUAACAUGUUGUCAUAUUUGCAAAAUAGAAGGGUAUCAUCCUUAAAUUGGAGGAUAGGAACGUGAAUCUUAUCCAUUCCCACUACAAAACCUUCAUAAAAGCCAUUCUGGUGUAGAUUUUCAAUUAGUGUACCAAGGACUUCACCUACAAGUAGAAAAAGGAAAGGUGAAAGAGGGUUGCCUUGUCUAAUUCCCCUGAUGGCCAACACUCUUCCUCUUGGCCUGUCAUUGAUAGAAACUGAAUAUCUCGGGCUCUUGACACAACCCUGGAUCCUCUCAAUCCACUUGUGGUCGAACUUUUUGCUUCUCAUGAUUUUUUCGAGGAAAUCCAGUCAAUCCUAUCAAAUGCUUUUUCCAGAUCAAUCUUGAGAAGCCAACCUUUCUUUUUCUUUGCCCGGUACUUCUCAACAAUUUCAUUAGCUACAAGGAUUGGCUUGAGUAUUUGCCUUCCUUCUAUGAAUGCACUUAGCGUGGGGUAAGGAUACUUGGCAUUACCUUUUUAAGUCUUUCAGCUAGCAGUAGCACUUUGGCGAUUACCUUGUAGGUUAAGGUUGUAAGACUGAUUGACCUGGAUUUGAUGGCUACUGCAUUUCUUUUACCCUAAACCCUCCCUAGACCCUAGACCCUAGACCCGGAUCAACCAGAUGAAUUCUCCUACAAGCAAACAUUCAAUUUCCAUUCCUAUAAAAACCCUCAAAAACCGAGAUGAAGUUUAAUUUAAUUUGACUAAAUUCCAAUGCCUAAUUAAGAAUUCAGCCGGAAAGCUGUCGGGACGAGGUUUGAGGGGAUACAUCUUGGGCCAGGGCUUUCGGAGAAAAGCGUAGCAUAAAACUCCAGAAUCAGGCUUUCAAUUUCUCUGAAGGAAUUGGUAGGCUCCCCAAGAUCAUUAUCUCAGCAAUCGGGUUUUUCCUUUUUUAACUGUGAGAAAUCUGUGGAAGAAGCUGGUGUUUUCAUCCCCUAAGCGGAUCCAAUUCAACUUUCUUUUCUGAAUUAGAUUCAUCUCCUCAAUUUUGUGUAAGGACAUCAAUUCCGCCUUCAAUGAAGAUCUGGAUUCUAGUUCAAAUUCAGAAAGAAGAAAUGAGUCUGCCAUAGCAUCCCGCAUUUCAAUUUCCCGAGUCAGUUCUUCUUCUCUUGUCUGUUUUUUCUGAACUCCAGCUAGGCCGCCCUUCUCAACUUGUCACUAAGUACAAAAUCUGUCCAGCCUUCAGAACCACUGUUAGUCCAUGCUCCUUCAACUGCCAAAUUACACUCGUAGUUGCAUGAUCCGAAGAGGGAGGGCCCCCAAGUAAAUGAUCCGGCCUCAAGCAGAAUGGGUAAGUGGUCUGAGAAUAAACGAGCUUGCCUAGAAGCUCUUGUGUUUCGAAUUCAUCAUCACAAGCUCUAUUAGUAAAAAAUCUGUCCAGAACUGAUAUUGCAACUGAAGCCCCUUCUCGAGACCAAGUGAACUUACCAUUUCCAAGGGGAAUUUCCAGCAGCAUAGCUUUGUCAAUGAAGCUAUUAAACAGCUACAUUGUUGAAAGUAUCUAUAAUGAAUUUAAAUUCUUAGGUUUUUCUUUUCCCCCUAGUACUAUUCUGUAAAACUAUACUCAUUUUGUAAGAAGUGUUGCAAUCUGAGAGGAUAUUUUGUGAUUAUUUCUUUCUUUAUUUUCCAGAAUUUAUCACAUGAGGAUGCGUUUCAGCCUUGGAUGGAUCCAUCAUGCUUGAGUGUGUUGCCGCAGUCAUAGCUUGGAAGUUUAGCACAAUUUGGCUCUUGUUUCACUUUAUAUGCAGAAGAAUGAAUCCAGAUAAAAUGGUACAUCAUGAAUGUAUUUUGGUUGGUCGUGGGUUUCAUGUUUUUGUAAAUAUAUUAGGAAUUAAAUUAGUAGGUGCUAUCCAUUACAUUGUAACUCUUGUUGAGCCCAUGACAUUGAAGUGUAGAAGAAACACAUUCAUUCUGCUUAGUGUAGCAUUGCGUCUUUUUUUUUUUAUUCAUUUGGAAGAUUUUAAAAGACCAAGAUUUCAGAUUAUGAGACAGGGAAUUAAGAGAGGGCAAACUAUCACUCUGACUUCAGCUUAAACAAGUCUACACUCUAAACAUUAUCUUAAUAUUAACUCCAAAUUAAACAACUCUGCUCUCUAAUAAACACAAACUUCACACUAAACAGCUUCGCAUUCUGAAUAUAUAUUCAAUUACUCUUCUCCGAACUAGCUCAUAGUUUCAAUUUGGUCUUUUGAGUGUUUCAAGAUGUCAACAAAAGGUUGUCUAUGAUAUAUAGUAGCUUUUGAAGGUAUAAAACUACAAUUUGGAAGAUUUCAAUUUGGUCCUUCUCUGGACAGUGGCAUGUCUUUCUUUUCUUUAUUGUAGUUUCUCCCCAAUGAUAUAGUAGCUUUUGAAGGUGUAUAAAACUACAAUUUGUAGAGUUUAUGCAUUGAUGCAAUAUCAAAAUGAGAUGAAGGUGAAUAAUAUUUAUGAUUCUAUUUGGAAGACAACAUUUAAUUACAUUUGUAAAAUAUUUAUUUUGAUUGUAGAUCAUCCUGCGGUAGAUCGUUGGCAUUGAACAUAAUUCUUGGCUUUCCCAUGCUGAAGUUGAGAACCCUUGCAUUCAUAUUGUACUUGAUUUCUCCAUCAUAAAGCAUCUUUCUUAUGUAGUGUUCUAUGUCUGAACCUAUUAGCCUAAGUGUAUAUUCUGUCAAUGGAGCUCCCUGGUUUUCCACAAAUAAACACACACCCCAUCAAUAUAACUUAAUUGUCACACUAACUUCACAAAUCUAUAUUACAAAAUAUGCGUACGUGUGUCAGUAAUAUUGCCCUUCUAUCAUUACACUAUAAAUUUUGGAUGAAAAUUAAGACCUAAAACAAGUAGGGUGAUGACUUGGAACCGAACUUUUUGGACGACGAUAAAAUAAUCUAUUGCCUUCAAAUUCACUAACAUCUUGUUUAGUUAAUAUUUACUUUUUCAAUUUCUUAUUGUUUUCUAUUUUCUACUUGAUGUUUUAAAAAAUGAAAGCAAGUUUUAAAAACUACACAAAUUCUUUUAUUUUUAUUUUUAGAAUUUGACUCAAAUAGUUAACCAAAUAAACCCUGGUUUAGAAUAUAAAUAUAUUUUACAAAAUUUCCCUGUCAAAUGUUGUGGGCUUCGAUUGUUGUUUUGUCAAUUGAACCAUACAUACCUUUAAUCAAUAAAAGUACAUCAAUGUAUUUAUACAUUCUUUAGCUCAAUUAGUAUAGUAUUAGCUAGUCCUAUUUUAUUAACAAAUAGGUCGAUUUGAAGUUUUGGCAGAGCUAACCCAUGAUAUAACAAAGGAUCCUAAAAUACUAAAGAAAGAGAGAGAAAGAAAAGUACCUCAUAAUGAUCCACAAGCUCUUGGAAGUAAGCAUAGACUUUAUUGCAAGUUUCAGGAUUCCAAAGGAACUCAUUACUUGGAUCCAAAAGGAGAGUGAGUUUAUCCAUUUGAGUUUGAUCAAACUCACAAGUAAUUGGGUCAAUGUAAGCUGCAUAUAUUCUUACAUGUCUUGUUACACUGCUAAGCCAUUGUCCUCCAUACUCUCUCCCCAUGUUUUUGCUCUUCACAUUCUGUUGUACUUCCACGGGCCGCAGCGGCGACGGUUUCGGCUUUGCCUGUUCUUGAUCUUCUUCCUGGUCUCCAGCUUUUAGUUGCUCUGCAGCUUCAUUGAUCUGAGCUGAGAUGGGAAAUCUGAGUGUGUGUUUUGUGUUUUGUAUGCCAUUUUUCCAACCCACCAUAGAAAACAUUAUGUAAGAUGAAGCUGCUGCUGCUGCCGCCAUGGGAGAGUUCUUUUGGUGUCUAUCUUUUAGAAAAUGGUUGGUUUUGAUUUCUCUGUUUUAUAGUUUUGGAGUAUUUUCCUUUUUUCCCUAUGGAGGGUCUUUGUUUUUCUCUUCUUUUUUUCUUUUUCAAAUGAAAUGAGAUCCAAUUGUUUGUGGAUAAGAUUUUUUUGGUUAUGUUUCAUCAUUUGGUGCACUUACAUACAUACAUCCAUACACACAUUUAGGGCCAAAAACUUAAGAAAAUCUAUUCAGUUGAUUGAAUUAUUUUGGUAAAGGCUUAACUUAACAAUAUUUGACAUGAUCUAUCGUUAUAAUAAAAGAAUGGAAACUAUUUGGUGAAGAUAUAUUUGUUUCAUUUGUUUGUCAAAUAUUCAUGAUGCAUACAUUAUACAAAAACGAUUUAAUUUAAAUUUUUUCUUGUUUGUUUUCCAUUUUCGAGGUUAUCACAAUUUUUGAACAAAUACUUACCCUUUUAAUCUAAUUCUAAAAGCAAAACAAGUUUUAGAAAACUAACUUAUUUUAGUUUUAAAAUUUUGAUUUGGUUUUUGAAAAUAAUGAAUAAAAGUAAACAAUAAAAUUAAAAAAAAUAUUUAGACUUCCACGAAUGCAUAUCAAACUAUAAGGAAACAUAGUCAAUUGGAACCAAAUUCAACCAAAUGAUUAUAUACAUUACAGAACUAAAAGUUUAGAAAAGAGAAAAUAAUAACAAAUCUCCAUAAAAACGACUUGCUCCCAACUUUAAGGGCUUGAUUGGGUUCGAGGGUUGGAGUCGGAUGGAAUGAGUUAUUAUAGUCACUCCACUUUUAGUCCUUAGAGAUAUAAUAACGUUUUUAAGAGAAAUGAUUUUUUUUUUUUGAAUUUUAACAAAUAAUAUUUUUUUGCACGUACAUGGUAUUUUAUAAAAUACCAAAAUAUCAUCAUUCUCAAACGUAAUUAUUUCGUUUCUACAUUGUAAUUAAUUUAUGUUAUGCAUUUGUCGGCAUUUAAUUAUUUUUCACAGACAAAAGAUAUAACAACUCAUAUCAUAACUUUUUUCCUAAUAUGUCGAAACUCAACUAAUUGAUUCAACGAUAACUUUAUUCAAUCUUACAAAUUUCAAAAUAAUAAAAUUGAAUUUAAAUUUCAAAAUAAUCUUAUUGAAUUUUAAAAUAAUAAAAUUAUUAUUUUUCAGAAUUUGAGAAUCUCAACCGUAGAUUUUGUGUCAAAAUAACAUUAAUUGAAUUUCAAAAUUAAAAAAUAUAAACUUGUUUACUAUCUUAUCUCAAAAUAACAUUAAUGACUUGAAUUAUUUUUAAAUUGAAAGAAUCUCAAUAUUAAUUUUGUUUUAAAAUAAAUAUCAAAAUAACCAAAUUAUUAAUUUUUGAAUAGAAAAAUCUUAACUAUUGAUUUCAAAAUAACCCAACAACUAUUUUGAAUUUAGGAGAAUUUCAACCAUUUAUUUUAUUUCAAAAUAAUGUUUUAAUAUUAAAAUAAAAUUUAUUGGUUGAAUCACAAAAAUAACCAAAUUAUUAUUUUGAAUUAAAAUUUUAUUAGGUUUCUUUUGUUUAAAUGAGAACUCGCUUGUUGUUUGUUUCCUAAUGUUUCUUAUUAAGAGUUUAUGAAAGUCUAAUUAACUUAUUAUAAAAAUAUAGCUUUGUAUAUAUAUACAAUUAUGUAAACCAAUUAAAAUUAAAAACAAUUACUACUUGUGUUUAGAAAUAUUUUUAAAUCAUAUUCAUUUGACCGAAUAACAUUAAUUAAAUUAAAAUUUCUAUCAAUAUUGAUUUAAAACUGUAAUUAGUAUAAUUAUUUCAAUAUAUUGUAUUUUUAUCAAAAAUAUUUUGUGUAAUUAAUUUGUGAUAUAUUGUUGUAAAUUUAUCAAAGUCUUUCAAAUAUAAUUAAUUUGUGAUAUACAAUUAUGAAUAUGUAAUUAAUUUCAACGUUAGAGAACUCUAUCAUAAUCUCUUCUUAGUAUCUCGAAAUUUAAAAAUAUCAAUAACUUCAUUCAUUUUUUUAUUUCAACAUUGUGGUAAGAUUUUAACAACUUUAUUUAUUUUUUUAUUUCAAAAUAAUCAUAUCAUUAAUUUUUAUUGGCUAAAUCUCAUUUUUUUUAUUUCAAAAUAUGAUGAAUCAUUUCGUAACCUUUAAUAACUUUAAAUUAAAAUUAGUUUUGUUUAGAUUUUAAUUUAUUUUUGAAUUUUGAAUUUGAAAAACUUUUUUUUAUUUAUUUGGAAAUUAAAUCUCAACUUUUUUUUAAAUUUCAAAAUAAGUUGAAUAUUUCGAUCCUUAAUAGGUUAGAAAUUAAAAUUAGUUUUUGUAUUAGAUCUUAAUUUAUUUUUCCAAUAAAAAAGGCUAAGAUAUCGUGUUUUUGGAUAAAAUCUCCCAAAUUUGCUCGAAGAAGAUGAGAUGAAAAAAGAAAAAAGAAAAAUGGAGACGAAGGAAGAUUUUCAAAAUGAAAGAUGAGAAACGAAAAACAAAAAUGAAGAUCGUUGCAAUGGGUCUAGAAAAUGAAGACGAAGGAUUCUGACUUUGAUCGAAAAAAUAUGUAUUUAAGAUUUAUUAAAGUAUAUUUAUUCUAUUUUAACUUUAAGAAAGUAUCUUACACUUUAUGUAUAUAAGGGUAUUUUGGGCUUUUACAAAUUCUUAUUUAUUGUUUUUUUUCUUUCAUUUUACCAUUUUUGAAAAAGAAAAGCGAUUUUGCUAUUUUUCAAAAUGACAAAUUUAAAAUUGCUAUUCUUUAAAGAUACAAUUCUUUAAAGAUUCUUCUAGUUGACUCUUAGAAGAAUAGUUAUUUUUGGAGAAAUUUGAGUGGUAUAUUUUUCUUUGGGAUAUUGUUUCUUAAGUUAAUAAGAAGAAUGAUAAAUCUUCCACAAUAUGAUUGAUAAAUAUGAAAUUUAUAAAAAUAUUUUAGAUUUUUUACUUUGCUAGACUGUAUUUUGUAUUUUGUUAUAUUUUGGAAAUGUUAGAAAAUAAAUGUAUAAAUAUUUAUUAAAGAUACAAUUUUAGUUAGGAUAUAAUAUAAUAACUAAUUGGAAAUAUUAAGAACAAUUGGACAUCUUUGAAAGACUUGCUCCAAUUUUCUCUAGCAAAUAGAUCUAAGAUUAAAAUACCAUAAACGAGUUUGCAAAAUACAAUUUGUUUCGUAAAUCCAACCACCUUGCCAAUGUCCGAUCUAUUUAAAAUACACUAUACGUGUAAUGUAAACCAUGAAAUACAAUAAAGUCAUAAAUCCUCGUGUCAAUAUUUUGCUAAAAAAACUUAUUCCGCAUAGUUUUUGCUAAAUUUCCAACCGAGUAAAAUAAUUUUGGCAUUUCAUCCAAUUUCUUAAAAGAAGGAAAAAGCUUAAUUUAGCUUAAAUAUGACACAAAUAUAUGCCCGAGCCCAUAAAGUCCACGGAAGAACUUCAAAAAUAUAGAAGUUCUCUUCGUUCGUGAGGAUAGAAAUUUUUGGUUUUAGAGAGCUUAGAGAGAAUUCUUCUAACAGCAAAGCUCUUGAAAACUGUAUCACUCCUUGAAACUUAAGUUCCUUGGAGAUACAAAUAUUCUUUCGACUACAGCUUUAGAAACAUCACGAAGCGAAAGGAUCAAACACUAGAUAUCGAAUCUCACCGCAUCAAAUCAAUAUAAACAUAACAUCAACACAAGUUCAACUCCACAAAACACAUUUUUUUCGAAAACUUCAUGCAAACAAUUACAUACAUACAUAUAUAUCCAACAAUACAUACUAUAAUAUUACUGAAACUACAUGAAUAAUAUAAAUUAUCAUUGUAAUAAUAGUAAAAGUAUGUUGUAAUAUAGUAAAUAUAUCCUAGAAUCUAUAAGACCAACGACAUUCAAUUUUAAAUAUAAUAACACCUAUAACACCACGUGAGAUAUACACGUUUGUAAUAUAGUGAAUAUACUAAUAAAAUAUAAGUAGAUAUCUAACGUAUACGUAUAGUUGCACUCAUUUACUAUAACUUUUUGAUCUAUAGGACAUAUAGUGAUGACAUUUGUAAUACAUCUUAGAGUCCUAGACCAAAUUGAUAGCAAAAGACAUGCCCACUAUCUCUUAAACCGGCUUAAAAUCAACAUGAUCUGUUACCAUGAUCAACGCUAUCGUUUAAAGUAUUAUUUCACUACACGAUUGUUUAAUCUAAUUUAAACAUUGUGUAUACAUACCAGACGAUCGUUUAUAUUAUAUUAUACAAUUGUUUAUGUUUGAAACUUUGUUGUCAUUGUUUAGAGUUUAUUAUCCGAUAUUUUAAAUUUGAAGCAUUUUUUUUCAUCAUUUAAAAAUGAAGUAGAGAGUCGCGUUUUAGAAUUUAAAUCAUCGUUUAUAUUAUAAUACACAAUUAUUUAGAAGAAGAUUACUUGCACGUUUGAUAUUUCAGCUUGUGAACGGUUUCCUUUUCAAAAUGAUUAUAUGUAGGGUAAAUGGUUUGCUAUAUUUUAAAAAAGAAAAAACUCCAACUAAUUUUGAAUUAGGCUAAAUCUUAGAAUGUUUGAUGUAAAUAAGCAGACACGAGUGAUUCAAACCCUCGUAAGCUUAGAGAGCGGAGGAUUGUUAAUUUUGGGCCAACGUCCUUGAGAACGUACCGAGAACUUCAAAUCUGUGGCGAAAAGAAAUAUAGGGUUUAACUAAGAUUUUGGGUCACGUAGUUGGGGACGGCAGCUUCAGCCUUCGACCAUUCCGAUUAGACUCCCCAAAUUUCUCAUUCAACAUGGCUUUCAAGACCAACACCGUUGCUUCCGCUUCUUCUGCUGUUGCAAUUUCUUCCGAAGUUAAGCUCCUUUCCUCUCUAUUUACUCACUCUCCCGCCGUUCUAUCAUCAAAUCCCCAAAUUUCCUCUGCAAAUAAUCCCAAGUCCCUACAUGCAUCACCGGAACGGAUUUCCUUUCAACACGGGAUUCCGAUGUUCCUACAUAAGUGCAAGACAGGUAGUAUCUCUGUAACUCAAGCACACCAAUUCUUUGACCUAAUGAUGCGUUCAAUCUUUUCUUUCAAUCGUUUACUUGCUGGACUUGCUAAGAUUGAGCAUUACUCUCAAGUGUUUUCUCUCUAUAAACAAAUGCACCUUGCUGGACUUUGGCCCGAUUUACUCACACUGAAUAUAUUGAUUAAUUGCCUUUGUAAUGUGAAUCGGAUUAACGAAGGUCUCGCGGCCAUGGCGGGGAUUAUGAGGAGAGGUUACAUUCCUGAUGUAGUGACAUUUACUACCUUGAUUAAGGGCUUGUGUGUGGAGCAUAGGAUUAUUGAAGCUACUAAGCUAUUUAUGAGAAUGCAAAAGUUAGGUUGCACGCCUAAUGUGGUUACUUAUGGAACUUUGAUCAAGGGCCUAUGUGCAUUAGGGAAUAUUAACAUCGCACUUAAGUGGCAUCAAGAAAUGCUCAAUGACACUAGUCCAUAUGUAUUUAAUUGUAGGCCUAAUGUUAUUUCCUACAGUAUCAUCAUAGAUGGACUUUGUAAGGUUGGAAAUUGGGAGGAGGCUAUAUGUUUAUUCAAUGAGAUGGUGGAUCAAGGUGUUCAACCAAAUGUUGUCACAUUUAGUGUGUUGAUUGAUAUGCUUUGCAAGGAAGGACAGGUUAUCAAGGCUAAGAAGUUGCUAGAGAUGAUGAUUCAGAUAGGUAUUGUUCCUAAUUUGUUUACUUAUACUUCAUUGAUUAAGGGGUUUUGUUUGGUUGGUGACUUGAAUAGUGCCAAGGAGUUGUUUGUUAGUAUGCCAAGUAAGGGAUAUGAACCUGAUGUGAUUAGUUACAAUAUGUUAAUCAAUGGGUAUUGUAAAACCUUGAAGGUGGAAGAAGCAAUGAAGCUUUUCAAUGAAAUGCUUCAUGUGGGAAUGUGGCCAGAUGUGAAAACAUCGGGUGUCUUGUUAAAAGCGCUUUUUCUUGCCGGCAAGGUUGAUGAUGCAAAGGAACUAUUUCGUGUCAUUAAACCUUAUGCUAUGCCCAAAGAUUUAUGUAUAUGUUGUAUUUUCUUAGAUGGGUUGUGUAAGAAUGGUUAUAUUUUUGAAGCGAUGAAACUUUUUAAUGAGCUAGAAUCUUACAACAUGAAAUUGGACAUUGAAACCUUUGGUUGUCUAAUUGAUGGUCUGUGCAAAGCAGGGAAACUUGAAACUGCUUGGGAGCUAUUUGAAAAACUAUAUGAGGAAGGAAUUCAACCGGAUGCUAUGGCUUAUUCCAGUAUGAUCCAUGGGUUUUGUAAGAAGGGACAAGUAGAUAAGGCAAAUAUUUUGUUUCAAAAGAUGGAAGAAAAUGGUUGUUCUCCCGACUUAAUUACUUAUAGUAUCCUUAUGCGUGGUUUCUAUGAGAGUAAUAAAUUAGAGAAAGUGGUUCAACUCCUCCAUAGGAUGAUUGAAAAGGAUGUGUGGCCAGAUGAUGGCAUUUAUGCUAUAGUUGAAGACAUGGUUUGCAAAGAUGAAAAAUAUAAAGAAUGGCUAGACUUGCUUCAAAGAUUUUUUGUCCAAAAGCAUCGGAAUGGCUAUUUAUAGACUUAGAAGCUAUAUGACUUGGAAAUAUCUAAUCAGUUUUGAGAAGCAAUGAAACACAUUGGUUUCCAUUUUUCUUCUUUGUUGCUAAAAAAAAUAUUUGAGUUGUUCUUCACGAGCAGCAUUGGUAGCGAGUUUGUUAAGAAAUGGAGAGAGAGAGAGAGGCUGACAAUGGAGUAAUUAUACUUGGGAGAAUUGAAAUCACAACCACCAGCGGGGAGGAGCACAUUGAUUGACGACAUCGCUCGUGGGUGUGAGACUGGAGAAAAUAGGGUGUUGUGGUGUGAGAAGUUGUUGGUUAGUAUGCCAAGUAAGGGAUAUGAACCUGAUGUGAUUAGUUACAAUAUGUUAAUCAAUGGGUAUUGUAAAACCUUGAAGGUGGAAGAAGCAAUGAAGCUUUCCAAUGAAAUGUUUCAUGUGGGAAUGUGACCAGAUAUGAAAGCGCUUUUUCUUGCCGAAAUCACAAAUCUUUUCCUAGAAAAGCUCAAUGACCACUAGCGGGGAGGAGCACAUCGAUCAACGACAUUGCUUGUUGGUGGGAGACCGAUGAAAAUAGGGCGUUGUGGUGUGAGAAAAUGUGGAAAUGAAAAAGUUCUUAACAACAGACAAAAAGGGGAUUUGAGCCUUGAUGCCUCGUCAAAUGCAUAUCUUCUAUUCGAAAACCGACAUUAAAGAUUCACCUCUUUGUUAGACACUUUUUGACAUAGUACAUAAGUAUUAGUUUCGCGAUCAACUUCAAAUGCCUAAUUUGUUGUAAUGUUUGAAAUUAGGUUGUUUCUUUCUCAAAGAUAUCACUUCUGUUUUCCAUUCAUCCUUCUUCUUUUUGUUUAAGAAUUUCUUAAAGGUUGUCUUCUAGGCACAGUUGAGCGCACGAAUGUUGAGACUUCGCAACAAAAGUUUUAAAAGAUGAUAAAUUGUGAGUUGUGAAUUAAAAUUAUUCAAUUGUUUGACAUAUUUAGUCAAUCUGAAUGACUAACUAUAGAACAAUUAAACACAAAUGGAAUGAUAUAGAGUACUCAUAUUUAAGUAAUGUGAUAGCGAAUAUUAAUAAAUAAUUCGAGUUUCAACACAACAAUGUAGAUGCCAAUACCAAUAUACACAUUGAUAAGAGUGGAAAUUGUUCAAGGAGAAGAUAGUUAGGACCAGGUAGAUGAGGUAACCCAACUCCUUAAGUGCCUACUUAACUGGAUUGUUUUUUGUGUAUAUAUUAUCCCAACAUUCUUUCAUUGUUGUUUUGAUUAUCUUUCUUCUUUUCUUCAGACAUUCUAACUUGAUUUGAGUAGAUUUUUGCGGUUGAAGAUGGUGGUGAAUGAAUAGAUCUUAAUUUUGUCUUUAAUGUCAUUGGUUGCAUAAACUCAACUUUUUUUUUUUUUGAUCUACACCUUAACAUAAUUCAAAGACUUCACAAAUCUAAAUUCUACAAACUCUAGCUUAUUACAACUACGAGUUUAAUAUCCCUUGCUCAUGCUAUUGGUGAUUUUAUUAUUGGGUUUUUUGGGAUGAAAAUUGAUAUUUUUUAUCUAGGAUGUUUCUCUUGGAAAUAGGGAAAGUUGUAAGAGUUUUUCAUAAUCACUGUUAUAAAUUCACAGACCUGAGUUUAUGGCUUUAGAAGAGUAUGAAGAGGCGUAGAACAAAUUAGUCGAUAUAUACUCAUUUGGAAUGUGCAUUCUGGAAAUGAUAACUUUUGAAUAUCCGUACAAUGAAUGCCCACAUCCCACUCAAAUAUAUAAGAAAGUCAUAUCUAUUAGAAGAUUUCUCACUGUUUAUAUGUUUCUUGUGUGUACGUAUGCUCAAUAUUAAGUAACAUUUAACACUCUUUUCCCAUUUUUUUUUUUUUCUGAAUUAAGAAAGUGUCUAGAUUGUCAUUUCUUUUCAUAUAUGAUUAAUCGACAUGCAAAAGCUAUUGGAUAAUAUUUUAGAAACUACUCUAGAGUUGGUGGAACAUUCCAAUUAUGUUCCUUGUUAUGAUGAUUCUAGUGGGGGUUUGGUGUAGAGAUUUGGAUUCAAUGAACAAUAUUGUGUACGUCUAUAUCUAAUUCUAUGAAGUGAGUCAUUGGUCACAGUCAUUGCAUGCGAGACAUUAUGUCUCUCAUCAUCACGUAAUUACCAAGUCCUCGUUGAGUAUAAGCUUUCCUAUUCCUUGCCUAAGUAUAAGCGAAACAAUAGGUUCCUGGAUAAUCCAAGGUCGAACACAGGAAACUGAUAUCAAAACUUAGUUCUAAAGCUCACUCAUCAUCUAGGUAGUAUAAAAUUUCUAUCUAUACAAUAAAAAGUGUAAGUUUAAACUAUAUCUACCAUCUACACUAGAGAGUCUACAAAAAGGAAGAAUAAUAAUGGAGGCGAGAUGGAAGUGUAAACUAACUUGUGUUAAGAAAGAGUGUAGGAAGGUUUAUGCGUUACUAGGCGAUUAAGCCAUGCAACAACCUUAAUGCGAUAAAACUUAGUUAACUAGCUUAUGAUUAAUGUGAGCACCUCUCAGUACCUUAAACAUCACACUUGCUUGCCUCUCAUGAUGUAAAUGAUAAAACUUGAGAUAUAUCUAAAGGGUUUACUUACAAGACUUACAAGACUUAUAACACUUCUCUUUUAAGGGUGACAAUCUCUCGGCACCAAAUACUCACACUUGUUAUCCUUUUGGGACAUAAAUGAUGGAAGUUAUCUCGUAAAGGUGGAGUUUGUCUCUAAACUCCUCCUUUUGUGCAUUAGCCAUAUUCAUGCUAACACAAUAAGCUUUAUAAAUUAAGCUUCUUAUCAAGAACUUAUCACAUACAUAAACUAUACAAAAUACAUUGACAAAUGAACAAUAAAGGAAUGUUGGAUUGAAAAUGUAUAAACAUGCAAUAUAUUAAAGAAUGCAUGCCUUAGGCCUUUGUACAAUAUGAGCAUAUACAUUGCAAAGAAUAAUACAAACGAAAAGUAAAAGAAAUGACUUUACAAGUUAGAAGAAAGAAAGAAUGAAAUCUUCUCUACUUUGACUCUAAGCUUUUACUUACAGGCUGACUGGAGAAGAAGAAGAAAUGCUUUUACAGACGAUGGAAAGUCUAUUCCUUUCCGCUCAUCUCUAGGGUUUGGUCCAUUUAGGCUCUCCUUGUCUUGGUAAAGGUGGAGUCCUUUUAAAAGCAACUUUCGGCAGAAAAAUUCUAUCCUUUUGAACAUGUCAGUACCAAUUGCAGUCUUGUCAAGUCACAUCAACUUCAAUUACCAUUCUUGUCUUCUAGUGAACCUUCCUUGCCUAGAAAUUGUACUUGCCAAAUAGGUUCUUCUCACAUAGCCUUCGCACGAGUUCCUCUACGAUUCAAUAGUUUCUUAUUUUGUUCCCUAAUCACGCGUUAAAACACUAAAAACAAGGUAAAACACGCAUGAAGACUUAUGUAAAAUAUAUUUCCAAAUAGUUAUGAAUUUACAAUAAAAGCUAUGCGUUUUGACACACUUACUAUGCGUUUUUGUUCCAUUAUUUUACCUAAAAGGAUAUAGUAACUUAUAUUUUUAUAAGUUAUCAGUGUUAUGUUUGAUCACAUGGGUAAUUACUUUAACUACGCCUUCUUAUUUGAAGAUGCUAGAAGACAGACUUAGUGAUAUUUUGAUGCUUAUACUUAACGACUCUUUAUAUUAGAUAUCUUAAAGCUUAAAUGAAUAUGAACUAUUAUAAGUGAAUCUUUGGAAACAAGUUUCAACUUCCGAAAGGGUACUUCUAUCUACCCUGUCCUUCAUGUUUUCCAACUUAAAUGUGUCUUGAGUGUUUGGGGCAACGUUACAAUGUGCAAUGAGAUAUUGUUUAAUUAUUAGUAUUUACUUAUAGUUAUAUGUUUUGUAAAUGAUAUCUUCCUUCCAUAUUUCUGCUUAUAACUUGACAGUUAGAUUGUUUUAAUUCUAGAAUUUUAAUACUUGUGUUGGUUGUUUGAGAUAUAUGAUUCUAUGUCUUCCAUGGUUUGGUAGUUUGUAUAAAUUAAAUAUAAGUUUUAUACUUUGUUUAAUUUCUUUUUGAUAUGUUUAAUUUUUUUUUUAUUUAUCUAUUAUUUUAUGUACUUAAGUGAGUAUAUCUUCCUUGGAGAUACUUUUGGGACACCAACUUUAUAAUCCUUCGUAAUAGACAACUCCCUCGUUUGCUAGAUUUUGAAAGCUUUGUAUAUAUAUAUAUUAAUAAAUGUAAUUUGUCAAUAGCUUACUUAGUUAAACGAUUUGUCACUUUCUUGGUUGUGAAUGAGAUAAUUUUUGAGUUUGUUGAGAGUUGUGUUGUAUGCAAUAGAAGAGAUAUUAUUGUUUCUUGAAAAGAAAAGAAAGAUUAUUGAUUUGCACAUUACUUUUUUUUAUAUCAAUUUUUAAGUAUUUGAUCGUCAUUUAAAAUGGAUUGGACAAUGUUGUAAUUAUUGAAUAAAUUUGGUAAUAAACUGACACAGAAGACAUUGAAAUGGUCUACAAUGUUAGUUUUCAAAUGACAUUGUUGGGAAUCUAUAAUGGCAGUUUAAAACAGACAUCAAAGCAAAACUAACGUUAAAAAGCUUUAAUAACACGUUCAUAGAUGUCGGUCAAGAACUGACAUUGUACCUUUAUCAUGUUAUUUUAAACCAACAUUGUUGAUGUCUUAUAUGUCGAUUUUGAACUGACAUCAAAGCACAACUAACAUUAAAGGGCUUUAAUAUUAUGAUUAUAGAUGUUGGUUGGCAACUGACAUCGUACCUCUACAAUGUCAGUUUUAAACCGACAUUAAAGUUCAGUUUUGUUGUAACUGAUAACGUGUAGUAAUGACUGUUAGUAUAGCUAUUUUUAUUAGAAUAUUAAAACACAUAAGAAGUUGACCAGAACAUGUGACUUGUAUUGUAAACGCACAAGUAUUUAGAAAUAUAGCUUGCAUAAGUGAUAUUCUUGUUUUACGCGGUUAUCAUGUUUAAACGCAGGAUAAGUGAGAAGAAAAUAAAUGAGCAAAUCAUAUAAAACAUAUCACGCAAAGGCUACACAAUGGGAACUAGCUUGGCGAAUAACAACCCCAAGCAAGGAACCAAUACAUCACGCAAGGAAAGUUCACUAGAAGACAAGAAUGCCAGUUGGGAUGAUGUGACCUCACAGGACCAGAUGACAACGAAGACACACUAAGAAAAAUAGAAGUUUCCCAUUGAAAAAUAGCCUAUACAAGCACUUAUUCACCUCCACCGAAAGGAAGGAGGGCCCAAAUAGGCCAAAGAAGGUCUGUAUGGAUCUUGAGAGAGAGCUCGAGUGAGCUACCUGGAGAGUAUGUAGCCGUGAUGAAGAAAAAGACGAUUUAUGUUGAUCUCCUAACUUGUAAUAGCAAUCAACUUUCUCUUCCUCCCAUUUUAUUGUUUUCAUUUAUAUUUUUAUACCUCAUAUUGUACAUAUUGUUUGUGGGUCUAUGCCCUACAUUCUUGGAUAAAUUUAUGUAACAUAGUCGUUCAAUAUGUCAUCCCUCCUCUUCUGGAAGUCAACGUGUUAUUAAUAGCUUGAGUAGGUGAUAAUUCAUGAUAAGAAGAGUCACUUAUAAAUCUUAAAGUGCUAAUCACGCUUUUGUUAUUGCUUGGCCAGCAUAAGUUACUAACUACUCAAGAGGAAAAGUAGCUAGAACCUAAUUAGCACACGUGAAGAGAAACUUUGCCUCUUCGCGAGAGUAUUUCUAAAAUUUGGAUCCCAAAAGGAAGACAAGUGUGGACAGUGGAUAUCGAGAGGUAUCGAUCCUUAAUCAUGAAAUACCUUAAGGUGCAUAAGUGGUUUCUCCUAGAUACAAUUCACCUAGCUGUAUUAUUUGGUCAUAUAGAUCUCUGAAAAGCAGUCAUGUGUGGCAUAUAUGCCUUCGAGAGAAGCAUGCCUUAAUUACAAGUAUGUCUUAGGAAGUUAGAUCGCAUCAAAGUUAUCUCUCUACUCACUCGAAGGAUAACAUGCAGACAUUUCUGCAUUCAUUCCUUUAAUACAAGUUAGACGCGUUAUAGUCUUUCUCUUCAAGUCGCCUUAGAGACUCUUGCUUUGUAAUGAAGAGUAGAUCCUAAAACCAACGUUUGAAAACAAUUAACUGUGUUUGACCUUGGAUCACCCAGGUAAAUCUAUUGUUUCGCUUGCAUUUGGACAAGCGGUAGGAAAAAUUGUACUCAAUGAGGACUUAGGAAUUACACGAUGAAGAGGUACAUUGUGAGCAUUUCACAUGUUAUGAUCAUGCCCUAUGACUCAUCGCCUAGAAUGGAAACAUGCGAUACAGAGAGUUAAGAUGAGCGCAUUACACGCCAUGACUUGACUCCAUGACGUAUUGCAAUUGUAUUGUACACGCAUGAACUUAUUAAGUCCAAAAUAGUCCCAACCAGUAAUGUAUAGCUUAAAAGAAUCUUAUCAAAAAUGUUGAUGAAAUAGGAGAUUUAAACAUUAAACAUAAGAACAAAUCGUUUAAUAAUAGAUGAAAGAAAAUGUGGAAGAGGAGAUGAAGAAAUCAGAAAGACGAAUAAUAAAGAGAAGUGACAAAUUGUAUGCAAUAUUCAAGGCACACUACUAGAAAAAUGAGUUUUAAUGACACUGCUAAUCAAGACAUUGUGUCGUUGAAAAUAAAAAUAGGGUGGGGUGAGGUAAAUUGUGUUGUGAAAAAUAAAAAUAUGGAUUAUUUCUUGACACAAUUUUUGCAUUGUUAAUUAACGAUAAAUUUUUUUGUGUCAUUAAUUUCCAAAGUAAAAAAUUUCUAAAUGAAAAAAUCCCAAUUUUUUUUUGAAUUUCCCUUCCUCACGCAAUUAAAACUAAAUAAAAACCUCAAAUUUUCACUCAAGCAAAAAUGCUGCCGUCGAACAAAGCCUUAAUGCAAUUUUUUUUUCUCUCCUUACCAAAAACACAAAAAAUUCUUGUCGAAUGAAGUGGGCUACUGCGUUGUUGUGACGAACCUUUGCCUUCCAAUUUUCUGCCACCCGUCGCCGUCGAUUCCACACUCCAGCCACUAUCGUCAUUGCCACCACAAUAAGCCUUCACCAUCAAACCCACCAAUCUAGCCACUGCCGUCGAAUAAAUUUAUAGAAAUAUGAGUUUUAAUGACACUUGAAAUCAAGAAAAAAGGGUGGAAGGGAAUAAAAUGUGUCGUUAUGAAUAAAAAUGCAAAUUUUUUCGUGACACAAUUUUUUCGUCGUUAAAUAACGAAAUAAAUUACGUGCCAUUAAAAAUUAUCCUAAUAAAUAAUCAACGUUUUUCUUCAUUCGUACGCUUUCUGAUUUUAAAAAAAUAAUUUGACGCUUUCAUCCUUCUUGCGAACAACGAUUGAAAAAAACCCUUACUUCAUCCCACGUCGUCGCUGUCUUUUCUCUUUCACAAACGCUCUCCAGUGUCAUUUUUCUCUCUCUCGCAAACGCUUUUCACAAAUUUUCCUCUCUCAAAAGCUCUCUACCCGUCUUUUGAAGCAGCUCAGCAAAUUUGCAGGUAAUUGGAAAAUUCGUGGAGCAUGAGAUCGAUCAAGUCCAUUUAUGAGUAAGUUUGAUUAUAUUAGGUCUUGUAUAUAUGUAUUACAAUUAAUUUAUCUUUUGGAUUAUUGAAAAACCAUUAUGGACAAUGUAAUUUACAUUUCUCUUAUUAUUAAUAAAAAAUCUUUCUAAACAUACGUGGGUUAGUUGAAUCAUGUACUUAAUUUAUAUAUAUCUAUCAUUUAUAUGUCUAAAAAAUAUUUGUUGUCACUUGAAAAAUAACAAUGUCAAAGAAGUGUCGACAUAUAAGUCUUUAUUAAAUAGAAACAAUGUUGUAACCAUCAUGAGUUGACUUAGUGGUAAAAAGUUUAAAAAAUUAACUAAGAGGUCAUGAAUUCAAUCCAUGGUGGCCAACCAACAUUGAAAUUAAUUUCUUACGAGUUUCCUUGACACCCGACCCUGUAGAAUCUGACAGAUUGAAGAUUCUCCUAUUCAUAAUUUUGGUUUAAUAAAAACACAAACCCUAUCGAUACUCAUAAAUAUACACGUGUUAGUUGAGUUAAGUUCUAAUCUGAAAAUUUAAUUAAACUAAUUUUAAGUUAGGUUUGGGUAUGGAAUUAUUUCUGUUAUUGCAUAAAUUCAUUGAAUCUCCAACAAAAAAAGUUCAAUUGCUUUUAUUUUGAUUUUAGAGAAAAUGAAAAAUACAAGAACAAAUUAUAUACCAUAAAUGAAGUAAGUUUGUUGUUUGAUAUAAGAAAACUAUAACAAAAAAAAAAAAAAACUUAUCUUAACUAACAGUGGUAUGUAAUUUUCAAAUACUUUUUACCUAAUUUAUACUAAAAAAUGUAAAACCAUAUCUACUUUUGUGCUCCAUUAUAUACCCAAGAAUACAUAAAUAAAUUUGGAUCUCAACUUUUUUAAGUGAUAAAAAGCAAUGAAAAGUAAAAACCUCUUUUCUUUCUUAGUCAAAAUGUAUAUGGUCAAAGCAUCAUAUUCCCAUGAAAGUAGCCCUCCUUAUAAUAUUCAUUAUAACUUUUGUUGUUGUUUCUUGCCUAAAAUAAUUCACUUUUAAAAAAUAAAUUAAAAUAUUUACGAGCUAUAACAAAUUUUUGGAUUCUAUCAACGAUAAAAAAUGGAUAGACUUUUAUUGUUGUCUAUCAAUGCCACUAAUAGAAGCAUACCGGUGUCUAUGUAUUUAUUAUUGAUAGAUUUUGAAAAUUUUAUUAAUAUUUAUAAAUAUUUUGUCAAAUUUGUUAUUUUUGAAAAUUUUCCUUAAAAAUAUUUACUAAAACUUUUAUUAAUGAUAGACAGUGACAAACUUUUAUAAGUGUCUAUCAGUAUCACUCAUAGACUUUUAUCAAAUGUCUAUGUAAGUUUUUGCUAUAUUUUAUAAUAUUUUAGUUCAUUUUGUUAUAUUUAAAAAUAUUUUUUUAAUAACUAGACAUAUAUUAUUUACAUAAAUGAAUUUUGCAUAAAUGUUUGAUAAACUACUAAUACACCAAUGUCAUAUUAACAUUACAUUAUUGAUGAUCUUUUUAAAAUUUAUUUUAAAUUAAGACUAAUAUAUUAUUGAAUUAUUUAUAUUAUAUUUUAAAUAUACUAUUUUAUCAUGAUUUUAGAGUAAAAUGAACUGUAAUAUUUACAAACAUAGACUAAAAUUGCAUGAAAUAAAAAGAAAUCCAAACGGGGCAUUCAUUUUUCUUACACGUGGGUAAAUCCAAACCCGGCAUGCUUUUAUAAUAGUUUGAAGGAUUUGUCUUUGGAUUCCUCCACUUUAAUAAAUGUAAUUUUGGGGAGAAAGAAGUAAAAGUGGAAAAAGAUAAAACUUUCCACCAUCCGUUUGUUUUAUUCUGUUGAGACGAUGUGAACUUUUAUUUAUAAGACUUCUUUUGGGGAACUGUGAGAACAAUUCAAUAGUAAUUAAUUUUCAUAAAUAUAAGAAAAUCUAAAUAUUUUCUACUUGUCUAACAAAAUAGAAAAGUGUAACCAUUUUAUUUUAAAUAUUUCAAGUUUGUUUUUCAUUUCUUUUUAUUUUCUAUAAUUUUUCAUUUUUUUCAUCGUUUUUCUUAUCUUCUUUUUAUGCAGUUUUUUCUAUACAUAUAUUUUUUGAAAUCAUGAUCUUUGUUUUCAAUGAAUCAUAAAUCGUGUAUUUUUCUUCAAAGUGUUAUUUGGUUCAAGAUCGUGUACCAAAUAUAAAAUAUCAAUAUACGAUCUUGAUUGUUUUGGCUACAACCAAAUCUAACAAAUAUAAAAGAUAAAAAAAAAAUCAUUGGAUAUUGCUACACGAUUAUUUAGAUUUGGAUAUAUAAAUCUAAACAAUCGUGUAGUCAAAUCUAAACGAUAGUGAAGAAAAGAAUCUUAAAAAAAUUGUUUGAUAUUGGUACAAUCGUUUAGAUUUGGGUAGCCAAAUCCAAACGAUAGUGUAGCUAAAUCUAAACGAUCGUAUACCAAAUAUAAAAGAAUCUUCAUGUACCAAAUAUAAAUUUUUUAGAUUGAGAUAUUGAUACACGAUCGCUUAGAUAAUUUAGCUACGAAAUCAUUUAUCAAAUAUAUUACCCAUGCAAGUGGUUAAUUAAUCGUGUGUUGACUGGGGUAUUUUUCAUUGUGAGUCUGUGAGUUUUUUUCGUUUUUGAAAGUGUUCUAUAAGUAUAAAUAUUUUAGUGAUUGUUGUUAUAUUUUUGAAAAAACCCAUAGAAAUUACUUCAAUAAUAUUUUUGUUUGUUGAUAGAAGUUCAUACAUUGAUUAACACUGCUCUUGGCUAAAAUAUAUAAAAUUCAUAAAGUUUUUUUUGUUGAUUGUGUUCUAUUAACUUUAUAUCGAUAAUUGAUAUUAAUAGAACUCUUUCAUUGAUCGGCCAUGGUAGUAUUUUAUUGUUGCUUAUCAAUAAUAGAUAUGGAUAUAAAUCUAUCACUCUUUAUAUCAAUAGCUUCUAUCAAUAUCAGUGAUAGACAUUGGUAAGGAAUAAUAUUGUUUAAUCAAUUUCUAUCAAUAAUAAAGAUAAGGUAGUUUGAUUGUGUGUGUGCAUGAUAGUAUUCUAUUGUCGCUUAUCAAUAAUAGAUACUGAUAGAAAUCUAUCACUGAUAUACAAUUAUAGUAUUCUAUCAUUGUAUAUCAAUGAUAAACACUAAAAGGUAGUGAUAGUGUUUUAUCCUUAUCUAUAUCUCUAAUCUAUACUAUAUAAAAGAGGCUAAGGGGGAGAAAAGUUUUAUUUUUCUCCUUUUAGCCCUUUUAGUGACUGAUUAUUGGGUUAUAUUGUCACAUCCCAUCUCAAGCAACUGCUUAAUUGGCCCGGGAUGUGGUAUGAUGUCAGCUAAAGCCAUUCACCUCCGGAACAACUUCAACUGACUCUUAACAUGAAUACAUGAAACAUUUGCUAGCGAAAGUCUUAAAACUUUAAAAUACUUUAAAACCGUAGUGUAACCUAUAUGAAAUACCUUUUAUAAAUGUGUAAAAUAUAUCAAACAUAAAAGUAUAAACUCUUGAAUAAAUACAGUAAUGUUUUAAGCAAAACAAUUCCUUUUAUGAUUUAAAAUUAAGUUGGCCUGACAACAAUAAGUUCAACACGAGGAGAUUCACAGUCUGUACCUAGAAAGAGAAAAAACAUUUUGAAAGAGUAAGUCUAAAGACUUAGUGAGCAAUGAUUUUAUAAAACAAGUUUUCAUAAAACAUUUUAAUAUAAAAUUGAAGCUUUAAAUACAUUUGUCAAUAAACAGUCAUUUGAUAACAUGAUACUAGAAACAUUUGCGUAGCUUUUGUAAGACAAUGUUCCGUAGUCACAGGAAAAUUAAGCCUCCUUGAUCUAUAAAAAUUAAUAUUUUAUCAAUUAAUCCAUUGAACAUGAAAAUAUCCAAAACUUCCCUUAAAUUUUUCAAAAAUUUCAUAACAGCUCAAAACAGUCCAACGGUGAUCACUAACAUAAGGGAUGGGCCUGACCGCAAGCGUAGGACUUGAGGCCUUGCCUCAUGCGUGCUAACCUCAUAAGGGUGAUCACUAACAUAAGGGUGGGCCGCAAACUGCGUGCUAACCUCAUAGAGAGGGAUGUUGCCACGUCCUUGUCGCCUACCUAGCACGCCCAUUGUGUGCCUUAAGCGCGUUAUGCUUCCCGCACACCCUGCGCGCUAACCUCACAACGCAAGGUCAUGCGCGCAACUUGAGCACAUACCUUGCCACUCAGCUCUGCCAUGACCUUCUCACAAAGCUCAAAACCCCACGCCCAUCUCGCCUAGCAUGCAUGAUACUGACCUACUGUCUAGAACUUUAUUUUUCGUCUAGAAAACAUAACCCGACUUUCAAAUUCAUAACAUAAAAUACAUAACUCUUUUGAUAAAACUUCCUUCUACAAAGGUGUUCUAAAAUGUCUUAAAUUUCUUAUCUCAAAAUAUUAGAGCAAAAAUAAAAAAGGCGAGUUCUAUAGCCCUCUGGGAAUGCACCUUGCUCAGAUUCUUCUUGAAAAUGACCUCAUCGCUUUCUUUGAAUCAAAACACAAACUUUCUCGCAUCCAACUUGAGCAAAAGCCCUAUAAAACUAGACAUAAUUUCUAAGCUUUAAGACUAAUUUGAGUGAAUUAACACGUGUGAAUUGUAUGAAAUCCUUUGUUGAAGUUGCGUAUUUAUAGGAAGCCUUGCAUGAAAAUAUGUUGACAUCUCAUUGUUGAUUAAACUCACCUCUUAAGCUCCAAAUUACACCUUGAUAAAAAAAUGUGUAUGUAGUAUGAUUAAGACACGUGUAUUAGUCCUUAAACCAAUUGUCUUAAAACAUGCCACAUUAUUGUCCUAAUGCAUAGCCUUGGCCGUCUAGCCUUCUCGCCUACUAACCUCUAUAGCCUUCUCGCAUGGCCUUGUUUAGUGUGGUCUUGCCGUCCAAUGAAAAGCCCUAAACGAAUGCUAACCUCUAAACUCAUUUUGCAUGAUAUGCUCCUCUCCUAGCCCAUCAACGCCGUAAAUAACCUCAAAUAAAUCUUCUUGUGUGCCAUGCUUCUCACCCAUACUAACCUCACAAGCCUUCUUGCCAAGUCAAAAUACCUUGUGGGAAGCUCUUGCUAACCUCCCAAGUCAUCUUGCCUAACAUAAAUCCAAGUCUUUGUUCGCCUAUUAGAUCUUACCUAGAGGUUAUCUAAUGUCCUUGGUCGCCUAAUGCUUUAUUCAAAAUAACCUCUAAACGACUAAUGUGCCUUUCUUUGACACUUAGCCAAAAAUUUUCAACUUUUCUCUUUCUCUUAACCUAGCUAAACCUUAAUUCUUAGUCUUUCCAAGUGAUUUUACUUUCCCUUUCUCUUGUCCUAACCAAAAUUUGAUAAGUUCCAAAGGUUUUUUUUUUUUUUUUUGGGUUUCAUAUGUAUCACUAGAAGAGAAAAGUUUUCCCAAUACACCAAAUGCUUGUUGAGAGAGGGGGCAAGGAGAAAGGGUAUCUUUCGACAAGCUUAAAAGCAUGCGUCAGGAGUAAGCCAUAACUCCCAAUGCCGUAUAAAUCAUCAAAAGUUAGUUAGGAAAAAAUGAUUUAAAGAGAUAACUCUCGACGUUGUUAAGAAGAACAUUUAGAGUUAGCUAAUAACUUCCGACUAAUUAAUUACACACCAAAUUUUCAAAGAGAGCUUUCGAUGCUCUUCAUAAGACAUUGAUAACUUGUUGAAAUACAAGUUAUUGUGUUCUUUUAGGUAAAAAAAAAUGGAGUCAAAAUGCAUGAUAAAGAACCAAAAUGCAUAAUUUUUAGUGCAAAUUUAUAAUGUUAAGAGAAUGCACUUUACAUAAGUCAACAUGCUUGAUUAAUUAACUCCUCAACAUAAUGGAGUAGUUGAACUAAAAAAAUAGAACUGUGUAAGAAAUGACCAGAGUUAUGUUGCAGGCAAAGAGAAUUCCUUUAUAGUUUUGGACAGAAGCUCUUAAUAUAGCUUGCCAUAUGCAUAACAAAAUUGCCUUGUGAUUAGGAACUUCAUGUACUAUUUAUCAACUAUGAAAGGAAGAAAACCUACUGUAAGAUAUUUUCAUAUUUUUGGUAGUACUUGUUACAUUCUUGUCGAUUGUGAGUAUCACAAAAAAUGGGAUACUAAAUCUGAUAAAGGAAUAUUUCUGGGCUAUUCUUAACAAUAGAGCAUGCCAUCUCUUUAACAAAAGAACCCAAACAGGUAAAGAAACUAUCAAUGUCGUUAUAAAUGACAAUGAAAAAAUUCUCGUAGACGACCAUACGAUGACAAAAUCUUCUAUGACAAUCUAACUCAAAAGAAUAAAGAAGUUCCUUUAGAUGUUCCUAAAAACAAUAACAUCAGUAAAGACAAAUAAUUCACAACCUACUACCAGUUCAAUAGAAACCCUAGAAACGUUAUAAGGAAAUGCUCAUUCCACCCUAUUCAAAAGAAUCAUCCCUAAAAAAAGAAAGAAAGACAAUUGAUUAUGCCAAAUUAAUUACUAACAUUUGCUAUACAUCUCAUAACAAACCAAUUUCUAUGAAUGAAUUAUAUUCUUUAUAAAUGUCAUGCAAGAAGAACUUAUACAAUUCAAGAGAAAUAAUGUUUAAAAUCUACUCCCAAAACUAGAAUGAAAAAACAUUAUUGGGACAAAAUGAGUUUUUAAAAUUAAAACAGAUGAAAGCGGUUCAAUAACAAAAGAUAAAACAAGACUUGUAGCUCAAGGUUACUCCAAAACUGAAGCCAUUGAUUUUAAAGGAAUCUUUUCUCUAAUAGCUAGAUUCGAACCCAUUCGCUUACUACUUGACAUAUCUUGUCUACAAAAAUUUAAACUAUAUCAUAUGGAUAUAAAAAGUGUCUUUCUUAGUGUAUACUUAGCCUAAAGGAUUCACAAAGGAUUCACGGAUCUUAAAUAUCCUCAACGUAUCUACAAACUUAACAAAGCUCAAACAAGUUCCUUAGACUUGGUAUAAAUGACUUACUAUCUUCUUGGCACACAAAGGAUAUACUCGAGGAGUAACCGAUAAAACUUUGUUGACAAACAAAUCUUAUAAAAACUUUAUUGUUGCCCAAAUCUACGUUGAUGACAUAACUUUUGUUGAAUUUCUUGAAACAAUGGUAAAUAAUUUUAUUGAUCACAUGCAAUCUGAAUUUGUGAUGAGCAUGAUUGAGAGUUAACAUUCUUUCUUGGUCUUCAAAUAAGGUAUAAUGUAGAUUCAAAGACAUAAAUGUCUGUAAGAUUUCUCAUGCUUAAUCCAGAUUUAAUUAGUACUCUAGCUUGGAUGUAUUUAACUUUUUGUUCCAAUGUAUGAGUAUUUUCAAAUCUCAAUUAAAUUUGAGUUUUGGUCUCCUACUGCAUAAGGGUUUUUGUCCUUUUAGUUAUCUAAUUAUUGAUUAAAAAUAACUAAAAAAACUAGUAAUGUCUUUUAUUAAUUUUUUAUGAAAAUUUUUCUUUAAAAUAAAUGAGACAUUUUUUAAAAAAUAAACUAGCGGUUAAUCAUCUGAGGAGAGACAUGAGAAGAGUAAGAAUGAGGAAAGAGAGAAAUUUUUUUAAGAGCCAUUUGCACACAAAAUAUAUUAAAAGGAAAAUUGAGUCUAUGACCCAACAUUUUAAAAGGGAUAGUGACAAAUUUAGCAAUUAAAUUCAAAUUAAUUAAGUAUAUAGCACAAUUUUAAAAAAUUUGUAAUUAUAGCAAAAUUUGUCAAAUUCUAUCAGUGAUAUAAGUCUAUCACUGAUAGAUCAUGUUGUAAAUAUUGGUCUAUCACUGAUAUACCAUAUGAAGUCUAUCAACGAUACAAGUCUAUCAGUGAUAGUUUUACUAUAUUUGCAAUUUUUUUAAAAUAUUGCUAUAUCCUUAAUUAUUAUUGCUAAAAUAGUCAUCAAUUGCAAUUUCCCUAGUUAAAAAUGUAAAACUACAUUUGAUUACCAUAUGAUUGUUAUCAAAUUGUCAUCUGAUUACCACUAAUUAUCAAUGAUAUCGAUUGUUGUUUGAUUGUUAUUUGAUUACUAUAUGAUUGUUAUUUGAUAUUCAUUGUUAUCUCAUAUUUAAUGAUACCGAUUUACCAUCUCGUUGUUAUUUAAUUGCAAAUGAUAUCUUUUUUUAUAUAUAAUUACUAAAUAGAAUUAGACAAUCAUCUUAUUACCUUCAAGUUUUUGUCAACUAUCAAGUAGUUAUUGACUAUCAUCAUAUUGUCAUAUGAUUAACUUCCUUUUUUUUUUGUCAAUUGUCAGUAUGAUUUUUUUUUUUUUUUUUUUUGCAUUAUGAUUGUGUAAGACUGAUAACUUGUAGAGAUGCAAGUUAUUAUAGUCUUUUGGAUAGAAUAAUGAGACCAAAAUGGAUAAGGAGUGUAUCAAAACAUGUUACUUAUGUAGUAAAUUCAUAAAUAUUUAGAAAAUACACUUUACAUAAGCAUCAUGCCUAUACCCGAUUUAUAGUAUCUAAACACAGGCUAAAGAACAAAAGAAUAAGCUAGCGAAUGACAGAGGAACUCGUGCGAAGAUUAGGAGAAAAGACCACAUCAGAACGCAUAAAGAAGUUCACUAAAAGCCAAAAGUGGUAGAUGGAGUUGAUGUGACUUAACAACAAAGGCAGUGAUAACAUGCAUAAAUACGUAUUAUUACAACCUCUUUUAUUAGAAUAAUGAGGUCAAAACACAUGAGAAGAUGACCAAGAGGUGUAACUUACAUUGUAAAUGUUGGGAUUUAUGUUUUAAAACUCAUAGAUUGUAAAUAUAAUCCAUUGACCGUUGUUAAUAAAGUGUUAUUAUUGUAAUACUUGUUAUUGAUUAUAUUAUUAGUUUUGUCUUAAUAACCCAAAUCCAAUAAACUAACGUCCUAAGCUUUUUUAUGAGACUUGAACAGUUUGUAGAGACAUACAUGAAUCAAUGUUCGAGAUAAACUUAAAGGGUCUAUAGUAUAGAGAUAAGGCUGGGUAUCUUACCCUGGUAACACUAUGGAUACAUCUGACUUUAUAUUUGAUACAAACACAAUGAUCCAACGUGUUCAUGUAGUUGAUAUGCGAGUGAGAGUAUCCUAUGCAAUGAGUUUGCAUUAGAUCGGACCGCGAAAUAGUAACCACUAGAUGUAACUCCGUUAAUUAGGUAGAUUUCUAUUUUAUUGGUUGUAAUUUGAAAUGUUCAAAAUUACUUUGGGAAUUAGUUUAAUGUAUAGUGAUACAUUAUAAUAUAAAGUUUAUCAAACUUUAUUGUAUAAAUUUAAUUUUGAAUAUGAUUCAAAAUUAGUUUAUGAGAGAUAAAAUAUUUGAAUGAGUUCAAAUAUUAAUUUAACGUGAAUUAAAUUCAUAUUAAAAUUAUUGGAGAAAUAAUUAAUAGUUUAGUUUUAUUUUAUAUAAUUAAAUUUGAUUUUUAUUAAAUUAAUAUAAAACUAUAAUAUAUUGGAGAGAUAUUCAUUAAAUAUUUAAAUAAAAUAUUAAUUAAAUAUGAUUUAAUUAAUUAUCAACUAAUUAAUUAAUAGAUUUAAGAUUUCUAUUAAUUUUCUAAAUUAGUAGAAUCUCAUAUUUCUCUCUUACUCCAUUUCCUACUCCAAGAAGGAAAGAAAAUUAUAAAUAUGUAGAAGAAAACGAUUUUCUUUAAUCAUUUAAUCAAGAAAAAAAAAUCAAUGCUUUUGGUAUUUGCCAAAAGAAAAUAGUCUCUCUAGACAUUUUUUCCAUCUCAAUUGGUUCCCACAAAUCAAUCUCAUUCUAAAGGAUAGGAAGGUCUACGACGGGUGGUGUCCCAAUUUGGAGAUGUAUUUUGUAGAUCCAGAGAUAUAAACAAAUAAGUUUUUCUUUAUCUAAUCUAUAAUUAGAAAACAUGCUUAGUCUUUUAAGUCUAGUUUCUUAAUUUUUUUUUGUCAAUAUACUGAUAUUUUGGGAUUUUCAAAUUAAUUUGAGGAAUUAUUCUGUAAAAUUUUUUGCUGCCAUAGGGCUUUUAUCCCUUUAAUUGGUAUCAGAGCCAUCUCAAAUUUUAAUUUUCCAAUUCAUUUGAUUAAAGUUUUAAUUGGAAAAUUAAACUUUACAAUGGUUAGGUGAGAUUUUUUUUUUUAUUAUGAAAAGUUGUUUGCAAGAUAAAUGUUUUCGAUUUUGAUAUCUUAGAUUAAAGUUUUUCGUUAAUUUGAUUGAUGCAAGGGUAUGUUGUUUUGGACAUUUUAAUUAUGUAAUCGAGUUUGUAAGCUUGUGUCGUUUGAUGACAAGAGUUGCAACAAUGUUUGUUUAUGAAAAAAAAGGAAAAUCGAGAAAAAGAAAUAUAUCUUUUGCGCAUCUUUGUUAUAUUAUAUUUUUGUUUUUGGUGUAGUGGAAUUUCAUUCACCAUUCAUGCAUAAGGUUUUUAGUUCAAAUCUUGAGAUUGAAGUUUUUUUUUCUUCAGUUAUUUUAUUUUAAUUAAUUAAAUUUUUUUAGUUAUUUUAUUUUAAUAAAUUAAAUUAAUAUAAUAUAAUUAUAUUAAAUGACAUUUUUAAAAAUAGCAAAAUAAAUUAAAAUAUUUACAAGUUAUAGCAAAAUUUUGGAUUCUAUCAAUAGUUGUCUUCUAUUACUAUAACAUGUGAAUGACUAUUAAUGAUAGACUUUACUAUAGAUUGUAAGUAUUUUGUAAAAUUUGCUAUUUUUUAGAAUCUUCCUCGUAGUAAUUUGAUUUUUUUGGGUGCUAAGUUCAGUUUAUUUUGUUAUUUAUUCUAUUAUUUUAUAUGAUGUUUAAUUAAUUAUAAGCAUAAUUUAUGGCAUAUAAUUUAAAAUUCCACCGUAAAAUUAUAACUAUCAUGCGUAAUUCUUAAAUAUAAGUGUUAUAUUUUAGUUGUAUGAUUUUCUAAGUAUGUUCAUGCAUUUUUAUAUAUUAUAAAUGUUAUAAUAUAUGAUAUUAAUGCAUGAUUAUGAAUUUCAUGAGUUAUUUAAAGUAUGUUGAAUCUUAAAGGGAAAUUUUUAAAAAUAGCAAAUUUUACAAAAUAUUUACCACAUGUAACAAAUUAUAUUACUGAUAACCUUGAUAUGCUAUAGUGAUAGAAAAAUAUCAUGGAAAAAAUCCAAAAUUUUGCUAUAGCUUGUAAAUAUUUUAAUUUAUUUUGUUAUUUUUAAAAAUGUCCCAUUAAAUAUAUGAAAUAGAAUAAACAUGAUGCAUGACAUUAGUUAGUUAAAUAUAAUUUUUUUGUAUUUAAAUUAAUGUCUUCUGUAUGGUUGAUUGAUUUUAAUGUAUUAAUUUUUUUAAUAUAAAUGUUAUAUUAAUUAAGCUCAAAAUCAAUUUGUAUUGAACAAAUUACAACCUAGAUUAAUAUAAUUGUUAUAUAUAAUGUAAUGUCUUGCAUGCUCCAUGGUUUAUUUCUUAACUAAAAUUUGUUUUAAUUAAUUAAACCUUAGUAUGCAUAUUAUACGACUAAUUACUUAAUUUUAUAAUAGUUAUAACAUUUGAUAAUUAGAAACCGUCAACCUAUAAUAAAGAGUUGCAUGCAAACAUAGGCUCUCAUGAGUAAUUUGAUUUAAUUUUUAAAUUAUUUAAAAUUAAAUAGACGUAAGAUCAUAUUAAUUCAAUUCUAAUAAGAUUAGAAUUAUGUCUUAUUUUAGUUUAAUGAAACUAAUUAGGACAAAUAAGAUUUAAGGUUAUAAGGAAACUCCAUCGGUAAAGUUCUGUCUAAGGCUGGAGGUACUUAAGUUGACAGUUUACGACCUCCUACUUGAGAACUGGGUAGGACCAGACGUUGAAUUAACCUUAUUCCUAUUAAGCAUGAGAUGUUACUAGGUAAAUUAAAUGAUUUAAUACACCUAGAAACUUUAAGUGUAAAUAUGAUUUAAGACUAUAAGAGAAUUCCACUGGUAAAGUUAUGUCAAAGGAUGAGGGUACUUAAGUUGACAGUUUACAGAACACCUACCUGGAAACUGACCCAGAACCGACGUUGAAUUAACCUUAUUCCUAUUAAGCAUGAGAUGCCACUAGGUAAAUUAAAUGGUUUAAUAUACCUAGACACUUUAGAGUAAAGUUUUAUUAUAAGAGUUAUAGUAAGAAUAGACUUAGACAUAUUCAUUUAGCCGAAAUUUAGUGUAACGACUCAACUCCUUAUACUAAGUUGAGGUCAUUAUCACUAAAACAAAUAAAGACUUUUUUAUUUAAAUCAAAGAAAAUACUAAGUUUUAAAAGAAACACUUCAAAUAGUUAUUCAUAAAGUAUAAGUAAAGUAUGUAAAUAAAACAAUAAAUAAAAUAUUAGUUCGUGCCCUAUUUAAAAUAAAAAAAAUAUCUAAAAGUAAUCAUGAGUACUAAAAUAAAUUUAUGAAAAAUUUAAUAUUGAAAACAUAAAUGCAGAAGAAAAGAUAAACUGUCCCCUAUGGAAAACCACAUUGCUUCUUGUCAUUCAUUAGCUUGCCUUUACCUCUACCUUUGCUUGAAAAUUAAACAUAGAAAAGUGAGUAUAAAUUUAUACUGAGGAAGGGACUAACUACUAGUUCCACUACGUGUCAGUUAACUUUCUGUUAGUGUCCAGUAAGAAAGUACCACAUAUCUAUUGUGCUCCCGAACACACACUAUCCAGUGAUCCCGUAGGGACACAUCUGGGCUCUCGUUGAACAUGAAGGAAUCACCCUAAAGGAGAGUCAGGCUAUAAGUGAUUCUGUUAAAUCACACAUAAAAUCUAGCCACACAUGCAUAAAUAAGUGGUGAUCUUGAGGGAGACCCAAAUUGUACGACUUUAACAAGUAAAGCUAAGAGAACAUCAUAGCCUAUACAUAUAGCAUAACCUAAAUAUCAUAUCUCAAUCGUAAUGUAUCUCAACCAUAGUAUAUCUCAAUCAUAACAUAUCAUGGUCAUUACAUAUCUCAAUCAUACAUAACGAUUUUCUAUGUAGCUAUUGUUAUCUAACAUACUUAACAGUCACAUCACAGGCAUCAUAACUAUGUUAAUGCAUACUAAAGGAAAACAUAAUGUAAGGGUCUAAUAGUAGAAUCUCUUACCUGGAGAUUAGCUGAAAAAAUAUAGUUCCUUCUUGACAGUCAAUUUCCAAUUAAUUCAGUCCUAAACAUAAACAAAAUUAAAAUUAUUAAUUUUGUCAACCAUCAACCAACUAUUUAAUUAAGCAUCCAAACUUAUCCAAACUUACCUCAAGACUUAGGUUGAAUCCAACACAACCUUGAAUUGGAUUAUAUUAAACUUAUUGGCUAUGGAAGAAACUUUUAUUUGAAUAUGAUUCAAAUUUAAUUUAAGUUAAAUAUAAUAUAUUUAAUAGCUAUUAAUUAAUUGAAGAAUUAAUUAAUAGUUUAGUUUUAUUUUAUAUAAUUAAAUUAAAUUAAAUUAAUAUAAAACAAUGAGAUAUGGAAGUUAUAUUCAUUAAAUAAGAUUUAAAUGAAAUAUUAAUUAAAUAUGAUUUAAUUAAUUAUUAACUAAUUAAUUAAUGGUUAAUUAAUUAGUAUAUUUGAAAUUUUUAUUAAUUGAAUAUUUUUUAAAUUAAUAGAAUUCCAUGAUUCUAUCAUACUCCAUUUCCUACUCCAAGAAGGAAAGAGAGUUAUAAAAAUGUAGAAGAAAACAAUUUUAUUUAAUCAAUUAAUAAAGAAAAAAAAGUCAUUGCUUUUGGUCUUUGCAAAAAGAAAAUAGUUUCUGUCUAAAUAUUUUUGUCAUUCGAGUUAGUUUACACAAACCAAUUUCAUCCCAGAGGAUAGGAAUGUCUCCGAUGGAUGGUGUCCCAAUUUGAAGAUUUACUUUGUAGAUUUAGAGACAUAAACAAAUAAAUUUUUCUUUCUCUAAUAUAUAAUUGGAAAGCAUGCUUAGCUUUUAAGUCUUUAAUAAGAAAACUAGUUUCUUAAUUUUUUUGUCAAUGCACUGGUAUUUUGGGAUUCCCAAAUUAAUUGGAGAAAUGAUUAUGUAAAAUCUUUCACUGUCAUAGGGCUUUUAUCGCUUGAGUAAAUACAUAAAUAUUUAUAUACUUUACAUAAGCAUUAAGCAUUAUGCCUGUUUUACGUGGUUUUCAUGUCUAAACGCAGAAUUAAUAGAAAUGAAGAAACUAGUGAAGCAGAGACAUUUUGCAGAAGAACUACGCGAUGAGGACUCAUGUGGCGAUUAACGUCUCUAGGCGAGGAACCAUGUCAUCACGCGAGGAAGGCUCACUAGAGAACAAGAAUGGUAGUUGGAGUGAUGUGACCUUAGAGGACCGAAAUUAGUGCUGACAAUCUCAGAGGAGUAGAAGUUUUUCGCCUGAAGCUGUCUAUAAAAGAACACCACCCUCACCAUAAAGAAGGGACGCCUGAAUGGGCAAACCACAUAAAUGGGCGACAUGCUUGUGUGGGCACAAAGAGGUCCUACAUGGACAAAAACCUAGAGAGUUGGUGGCAAGGAUUAGCUUCACCACCAUGUGUACAACACUGUGUUACCUUUUCCAGCCAAAUUGUAACGAGAAAGCUUCAAGUGUGGGAGGAGAAGAGUCCAUCCUCCAUUUCUCUUAACUUGUAUUUCAUUUUCUUCCUCUUUCAAUUUUAUUAUUUCUUUACAAUGUAUUCAUUCAUAUUGUACAUUGACCAAAAACCUUCAUUCUUUAAUACAUUAUAUCUUUAUACCCUCUUUAAUCCAUCCAUGCCUCUAUUGUUCAUCUGUCUUUGUGUUAUUUAUAGUUUAAGUUUAUGAUUUGUUCACAAUAAGUAAUAUUUAUUUGUAUCGCUUAGUGUGUUAAUUGAGCUACAUUUUACAUUUGGUGAGUGUAUGUCGCCAACUACACGAGAGGAUGAGUAGCAAGGAUGUGGCUAACACACGGAAGGAAGAGUUUUCUCUACCUUGCGGAUGCCUUCCUUCAUUUGUAUGUCAAAUGGCAAACAAAUGUGGACAAUAGGCACUGCGAGGUUGCUGUCCUUAAAUGUGAAGCACUCUAAGUAAAAUAAAUAAGUAUUUCAAGAUAUAAAUCAUUUAGUCAAUCUUAGUCAUUUGGAAUUCAAAAGGAGAUCAAGUGUGGCAUUCAAUGACUCUGAGAGGAGCAUGCCUUAAUCAUAAGAUAGCUUGGUGGGUUAUAUUGCAUCAAGGUAGUGAUACAGCUUACUCGCCUGAUAGCUCGAGACCUUCCUUCACCUUUCUCUCGCAUACAAGUUAGUUCGCUCUAUCUUCCAUCUUGCUAUAAUUUAUUCUCUUGUGCAUGAGUCUCUAGGUGUAAGUAAAUAGUCUUAGUUCUUUUUUAAUAUUCUUUUAAAACCAAUAUUGUCAUGAUGCCUAAAUGAUAAGUAGAUCCUAAAACUAAUAUUUGGAACCAAUUUUCUGUCUUCGACCCUGGAUUACCCAGGUAAACCUACUGUUCGCUAGCACUUGGGUGAGCAGUAGGAAAACUUGUACUCAACAAGAACUUAGCUAUUACGCGAUGAAGAGGUACAUAUUGAGCAUUUCACAUGUUGUGCUUAUGACCCAUGACCUAUCGCAUAGAAGUGUGCGCACAAUACAUAAAGGUAAGGAGAGUAUUUUAAGUGAUGACCCUACUUCGUGACGUAUUGCAAUUGCACUAUACAGAGGCAAAACUACUAAGUCCUACUUUUACACCGUUAACUAAAUGGUGACGAAGUGGGAUGUACGUUGAACCAAUAUGUGUUAAUUUGACAUGAGUUGAUAAAUUAAUAGUAGAAAAAAAUGGUCAAUUAUUUUGGAUUAUGUUCUAUUUCAUUUUAGGUGAUAUGUUACUUUGAAUUGUUGUAGUUUACUUUUGAUUUAGCAUAGAGAAACUUGUUUUGGAUUAUGUUAAGGCAAUCUACUUAUAUUCUUUCUAUGUAGUGGUCAUUGGACACUUCUGGCUAUUAACGCAUACGAUGAGAUAGUUUAUUAUAUUGACUCACUUCGAACAACAUCGAGAGUAGAUAUUAGAUACGUAACUGACACGUAAGUAAGCUUUUUUAAUAUAUGAUGUUUACCGUCUUAAAGUUCACUUCAUGGCUAAAGUGUAGUUGUUUCUUGCAAAUAAGGCUAUUACUAUCUUUCACUCUCAGAAAAAUAUUCAAUCAAAUUGAAAACAGUCAAUAUGGAAAACAUUAAAGGUAAAGUGUAAACAUAUUUAUUUGUUAAUUAAAAGUAUACGGUAUAUGAGCUAUCUGCACCAUUAAAUAUAUAUUUUGGUAAUUUAUGUAUGUACAAUGUCCUUUGCAAGUUGGAGUAGUUGAAUGUGGGUACUAUGUGAUGAGAUACAUGAGAUAUAUAAUUACUAAUGGGAGCAUAGUAGUCACAGAUUUGGUAUGUUGUGUUUAAAUGAUUGUUUGAAUUAUUUUCUACAAUUUUCAAGUAAUCAAAGUAUUAAUUUUAAUAUUUUGGGUUUCAUAUCAGAUUGAUAUAAGGAGCUCAUAUAGUCAAUUCGAGUUAGAUGAAGUGCACGUGGAGCUUGCUGAUUUUUUGGGUGGCCACAUUUGAUUUUAUGGUGAUUAUAUAUUUUUUGGGUUAGAUAGACAAGUUUUGUUGAUACUGGAUAUAGGUGUGAUCGAUAUUUUGUUGAUAUACUUGAUAUAGCUAGGUUAAUUAGUUUAAUUGAUAUUUUGUUGAUACACUAUAGUUAGGCUACACAUAGAUGGAAAGUUUAGGUUGUUGUUAGAAAAGUAUAGGCUAACUACAUGUAUGUAUAUGGUUCAUUGAUAUAUGUUAAAAUAUUAUUAUAGUUCUUUGAUGGAAAAAGUUUACUUCAUUCAAUUGUUCAAUUAAUGUGUACUUUAGCACAUUUGUUCGUGUACUCUCUUGCUUUACUUAUAUACGUUCGACAUUGUUGAACUUCAAAACAUAUGCACGAUAAAUUAUGAAGAUAUUUUAAAAUAUAUAAUUUAAAAAAAAACUUGAUAUGCAAAACGUGUUAAGAGUAAAACAAACUCUGGACAUAUUGUAAGAAAUGUCAAUAAAUCUUAUAUAAUUGAUGUUUAUAAACUGUCAAGUAUAAUUCUACUUGACGCUUAAAAUCUGUUAAACAAAACCACUCUUGUUCUUGACACUUGAUUACUUGACGAAUAAAAAACAUAAAGUAAUCUCAUAUACUUGACGCUUUUUACUUGUCAAGUAAACUGACUUUACUUGACGCUUAAAAACUAUCAAGUAUACCUCCUUUAUUCUUGGCACUGGAUUACUUGACACAUUUAAAAGCAAUCAAGUAAAUAAAUACUUGACAGUUUUUAAGCAUCAAGUAAGGUCAGUUUUGUAGUAGUGCCAAUUUGCUCAAUUCUAACGUUGUAUGUAAUUAUUUGAUAAUUUUUUGUGCAAUAGCUACUAUCUUUCGUAUACAUUUAAUUCUUUAAACGACAACCCGACCUAAAAAUCGUUCUCUCAAUCCCUUAUAACACAACUAAUUAAAUAAUUAAAGUCAUCAUACAGUGGUUAUAUAUAAAUGAUAUACUUUUAUAAAUACAACACAUACAAGAUAAACACAAAUGAAAGCAACAUUUGAACAAUAAAAAACACCUAGUGUACUUUUCCCUUUUUUGCUACCCAAUAGCAUACACUAUUACAAGAAUUGAAUUCUCAAACAAGAUUAAAACAAUGAACAUUAAUUAAGAACCUCUUUUAUUUUUUAAUUCAAAGCAUAUGGGUCAAAGAAUCAGACGCUCAAAAAAGUAUCCAGCAAUACAUAAUAACUUUUCUUGUUAAAAUGAAAUGGAUAACCCUAAAACACUUUUGAAAAGUUUUGAACUUAUCUUAUACCACAAAACCUAAAGUAGAUGUUGAUACCACAAAAACUAGUAUAAAUAUAGAUCAACCAAAAGAAAGAAGCCCCAUCACAACAAAACUCUCUCUUAGCAAGCAUAAAUAUCAAAGAAGUGAUACGAAGAUGAGCAGCGACUCAAAGAAUGAUAAGUGGAUCCAAAUCCCUGAUACAAAAACACCUUGCGUGAUUGAUCUUGGAAAAUAUGCUGUGGAUGACUACAACAAAGCACACAAAGAUAACCUUGUAUUCAAAAAGGUUAUAAUCGGAUGGUAUUUGGAGAUAGAUUAUGAUAAAACAAAGCUUCGUCUUAUUAUUGAAGUAGUAAACAGUAAGGGAGAAGUAAUAAUAUACGAAGUAGUGAUUGUGGUAGAUGAUAAAGAUGGAAAAAAAGUGAAGACACCCAUUUCAUUUAUUCCUGGGUAUAUAGAUGAGGUGGAUCCAUGGUUAUUUUGGUUUAGAAUUAUUGAUAUUAACGACCCUCAUGUGCAACAGAUCGCCAAGUUUGCAGUGGAAAAGCAUAACCAGGAUAAUAAUGACAGUCUUGUUUACAUUUCCACAAUUGUAUGCUGGUAUCGUUUGUUGAGUCCAAUUUUAAAACAAUAUAAAGUUUAUCUUAAGGCCAAGGAUUGCUUGGGACGUGUGCGGGAUUACGAAGCUUUGGUUGAAGAAGAGAAGAAACUGCCUAAUGCGAUUCUGAAACUUAUAUAUUUCAAAGUUAUACCAAAGAAAUGUUGAAAACUUGCUACAUAUGUGGGUUUUGUUAUGUUAUGUGACGCCCUUGACUACAAAUAUAUAUAAAUAGUCAAGUGCCUUAAUAAAAUAAAGCUUUUUAAAAUAUAUAUUACAACUACAAGAAAACAUGCUGUUAUAGUGGUUUAUUUAGUCUAUAGUAAUGGUUUAUAAACGUUGCAACUCAUCUAUAGCAGCGGUCUCGCUGGCAAAACCGGUGUUGAGAGCUCAAUUGAAUGAUUCAUUUACUCAAUGCUGUGCCUUUUCUUUUUUCCUUUUUUAAAGUUUUAGUUCGAUUAACAAAGUUAUUUUAUGUCAUAACUAGUAGUAUCAUGAUCAAUUUACCUGGAAUGAAAACAAUAUUUGAUGUUUGGUUACAAAAUACGUUUCCUUCCUAAAUUUUAUCAACAAAGUAGCCAUUUACAUUAUUGACUUUAUUUUGUAAUGAUUUAGUACUUUAUUAGUCACAUUAAAGUAAAUUUUAUAAGAAAGAAAAAUUUACAAAGUAACAAAAGUUGGAUAUUUAAUUGAAAGAAAAUUUAUGUUAUGUUUAAUUACCUAAAUUAAACUAUAGUCAGAGGUGCCAAACAAAGCAAUUUGGGGUUAGUGGAUUAAGUAUAUAAUUUUUUUUAAAAGAAGAAAUAAAAUAAAAGAGAAAUGAGAAAAGGAAAAAGUGUUUGUUUAGGUUAUUUAUUCAUUUCUCCUCCAUUUCCAACAUUUUCUGUCCAAGGAAAGCAAAACCAAUAAACUAGCAGCAGUAGCAAGAGGAAAAUUUAGGAGAUUGGUGUGUUGGUGAAGAGGAUUUCUUGGUAGCAGUUUGGUGUGUUGGUGAUUUUGAGCUGUAGAAAUGGAAUUAGAUGCCAAAACUUGUCGGGUUAGAAAGUAAGUUCAAUUUCUAACAACUUUUAUGAAGCAUGCUUGAGCUGAAACUAAUGAAAAGUUGAUUCAAACUGAAGGAGACGAUAGACCCCUGGUUUACGCACGAAUUUGAGAAGUCUUUGAUGUUUUGAGUAGCCCGAAGUGUAAAAGUUAAAUUAAAAGCUCUAAUUGGUCAGAUUAUAAGUCUUAUUCAAUUUCCUACAAUUUCUAUUCAGAACAUUUGAGCUGAAAAUGAUUAGAAAUAGAUGAAAUUUCAGAAGGAAGCUGAAGGCUGUUUGAAAACGUGAAAUUGGAAUCGUCUCUGGUUUGGGGAAGUUCUAGGAAAACCCGUUAAGUUUUAGAUCUUCGUUUCUUCAGUUACAAUGUAGAGGAUUUGAAAAUGAAGAGUUUGGUAUAAAUUUUACUUAAUUUGGUUAAGAACUGAGUAAAUCAUGAGCUGCUGAAUUUAGAAUUGUGAAUAUGAAAAAUUUAGGCCAGAGUUGUGAGGAGUUUAAUUAUGUUUUUUAAGUUGGAAGUUGACAAUGAUAAAUUUUGUAUGCCAUAGUUUGUAUGUCAUGAAAUGACUAGGAGAACUUUGGAUUUUGAUACACGAAUAUAGUUUGUUUUGGCCAGGGAAGAGAAAAUAGAGCAAAUCUAUAGACUAAGGACCUAACCAAUAAAACGUCAGUGAUGAACAUGAGUUUUAAACAAAGUUCUAAAUUUGAUUUACUAAACAUGAGUUUUAAACAAAGUUCUAAAUUUGAUUUACUAAAUUAUAUUUAUAGCAUCCUUUGAGUUAAAGUAUUUUAAAUAUACUAGAUUUAUAAAUGAUUUACAAAGGGUGAGUUUCAAGUUUAGAAAUGAGUUAGAAACAAGCAUAUUUUAGCUGAGUUUACAAAGCAUUCAAGUUUGAGAAAUGUUUCUUUUCACAUGAGAUUUAUAAAUACACGUAGCUGAAUGUUGAUCAGUUUUUAAGAGUAUUAAGCAAAGUUAGAUUUAAAACUUGUUUGAUGCAAGAGAUUUAUACGAGCAUGCUACUUUAGUUGAAUUAAAAUUUGAUGUUUUAGUUUGUAUAUUUGAGAUCUACUGGGUCAUAGUAACUCAUACUUAAAGAAACUCAACAUUCAAAUAAUAAAUCUUAUAUUUAAAAGAAACAUUAAUCAAACUUUUAUAAACUCAACACAAACAUGCUUGCUCCUAACUCAUUUCCCACUUAUAAAUUUAGUAUAUUCAAAAUACUUUAACCCAGAGUAGGCUUUAAAUAUAAUUUAGCACAUCAAGUGUAGAAAUUCAUUUAAAACUCUUUUUUGUCAUUAACAAACUGUUGGUUAGGUAGUUGAUCUAUAGAUUUUUCCUAUUUCCUCUUCACGUGCCAAAACAAACCAAUUACCGGAUAUCAAAACCUGAAGUUUCUAGUUAUUUUCAACUUCCAACUUAAAGAACAUAAUUAAACUCAUCAUAACUUUAACCUAAAAUUUCAGUUUGACAGUUAUAACUUCAAUAGUUUAUACCCUUAGUUAUUAUAUACACAAAAUGAGUCAAGGCAACUAUGGGGUGAACGGACCACAUGGCGGUGAAAGGCUAACCAAUGUGGUUGUGUCAGUGGUCUGAGCAACAAGAAAUGAAUCAGUGGAAUUCCAGAAGAUGUUGAUGAUGAUGUAGUCAUCAAAGUAGUCUAUGGUAUGGGAGUGAUUCACGUCCUUCUUGGCGGAAGGAAUAGUGAAAACUAAUGUGUGUUUUAUGAAAUUGAGACGUUGAAGCCCGUUUUUAAUACAAUACCUUUGCAAAAAAAAAUGUUUAAAAAAAAUCACGAAGAAGAAGUUUAAAAUGGAGGGGAAGGAGAUAAAAAUUAAAAAAAUUACCUAUAGGUUUUCUUUUUCUUUAUUUUAUGUUAUAUUAUAUUUUAUUUUUCAUAAAGUCGUUUUUUUUUUCUUUUUUCAAUUUCUUUUCUUUUCUUUGUUUUUCUACAAAGUUAUUUGAUUUUUUUUGUAUGAAUAGCAAAAUAAUUUUAAAAAAAUUUAAAAUAUAGCAAAUAUAUAAAUAAACUAAAAAGAAUUUGAUGAAUUUUGAUAUAUUUUGUUGGUAGUUUUAAUAUUUUGGUAUUUUGUAAAAUGUUCAAAAAAAUUUAUUUUAGUUUUGAUUCCUAUUUUUUUGUAAAAGAUAUAAACCACAUAAUAGAAAUGCCUCGUAAUUUUUACUGUUUUUCAAAAAAAAAAUUCUAAGCAUAUUUGGGGUAUGACUUCUUCCAUUCAUCUCCAAUUUUGAUAAGAGCACAAGUAUACAAAAUUAUUAGUAUACAAAACUAAAAUUGUUAUCACUGCAACACUAAUUAAUUAAUUAAACUUAAAGAUCCAGCAUAAUCCGAGGCUAUAACUAUCACAAAAUUUACAAGCACACCUACCAUACUAUAUUACGUAUUAAAGUUGUGUGAUUAAAUUAUUACAAAUUAUAGGUACAAUAACUAAAUUGUUAUAACCCAAAAUUCAGACUUUCAUUUUAGGGACGAAAAUGGUUUUCAUCAGUAUUUUUCUCAAUUCAAAAACAUAUAUGGUCAAAGAGAAUCAUAUUCCCAUGCAAGUGGCCGGCCACAAGUAUAAUAACUUUUGUUGUAAAAUGAGAAUUGGGAUAACCCUAAAUUUUGUUUUUGAAAAGUUUAGUACUUAUCUUGUAAAAGGUAAAAGCAAAAUAUAUGUUGAUGCCAAAAACUAGUAUAAAUAUAGAGCAGCCGAAGGGGGAAAAAAGCACAUCACAACAAAAACUUUCUCUAAGAUAUCAAAGAAGAGAGAUAGCAAGAUGAGCUGUGAUUCCAAGAAGACGUGGAUCAAAAUCCCUGAUUGUACUACACCUUGUGUGAAUGAAGUUGCAAAAGAUGGUGUAAAUCAACACAACAAAGCGUCAGGAGAUAGCCUUGUUUACAAAAGGGUUAUUGUAGGCUGGUUUUGGGAGAUUGAUGAUCAUGCAAUAAAGCAUCGUUUGAUUAUUGAAGUAGUAACCAGCAAGGGAGUAGUGUUAAUAUAUGAAUUAAUAAUUGUGGUAGUACAAAAAGAUGGAAAAAGAGUGAGAACACUCAUUUCAUUCCUUCCUGGCUAUCUGGAUGAGAAGAAUCCAUUAAUAUUUUGGAUUAAGAUUCCUGAUGUUAAAAAAAGUUGUGUGCAAGACUGUGCAAAGUGGGCAGUGACUGAACAUAACAAGAUUACUCAUGAUUAUCUAGCAUAUGAUUCAACUGUUGAAGGUUGGUAUCAUGAGGUGAAUCCAUUUGUUAUAAUAUUUAAACUUCAUAUUAAGGCAAAGGAAUGCAUUGGACGUGUGAGGGACUAUAUUGCUGUGGUGAAGGAAGAAAAACCUCUCACUGAGAAAAUUAAGAAACUUGAAGACUUCUAUCUUAUCCGACCAAAGAAAUAAAAGUAGAAAAACUUGCUAUCUGUGCGGGUUUUUGUAUGUCAUGUUAUGUUUACGCCCUUGACUAUAACUAUAUAUAAAUAGCCAAGUGCUCAAUAAAAUAAAGCUUUUUUUAAAUAUAUAUUACUCUACCUAU